RNAcentral lists this long non-coding RNA (49462 nucleotides) under Ananas comosus (pineapple). Its description in RNAcentral is "long non-coding RNA (ACOM_LNC000118)". The record is from RNAcentral. Lineage: Eukaryota; Viridiplantae; Streptophyta; Magnoliopsida; Poales; Bromeliaceae.
AAAUUAAUUGUAGUUCGAAUAUUUUUUUAUUUUUUUAUUUAUAUAACAAGUAUGGUGAGGUUCGAACUACAAUUUAUUGAUCGUAAGCACUAACCAAUUAUUCUAAAAAUACGUGAUAAUAGAAGGGUGCACUCAUUGCAUUUAAGAGCUCAACCACAGUACUUACGGGUUUCGAUCUGACUUAACUCACCUAGACGGUAGGUCUAUUGUUGGACCUCUAACCGUUAGGUCUCUUGUAGACUGCAGUGCCGCUCAACUUAUUAGAUUCUUUCAAUUCAACUUAUUAGUCUUCUGAACGAAUUGUCACGUAGCAGAAAAUUAGAACUAUUUUAGUCUAAUAAUAAAUAACCAAUAUUAUUAAAUUAGAUGAAAUAGCUAAUUUUCUCUAAAAGCUUCUGUUCUACUAUAGUGCAAUUUAUCUACCUGAGCGGAGCUAAAUACGACCCUAAUUAACAUAUUUACCUAACUUACUAAUUAUGCAAGAAACAUGAAAAAAAAAAAAAUAAUUAGCAACAUUUUUUUUCGUUGUUAUUAUUGUUUGCAUGCAUCAUUGCAUGCAAGCAAAAUUCUUUUGAACCAAACUUGAUGCCAUCUGUAGAACAAAGUUAAUAGGUUAGUCUUAGAUUAGAUACUCCAUUCAUUUAGAAAUACAAUAAUUAAUAUACUAAUAUAGGCCCCAAUAAGAUAUGAUAAAGCGAAGACCAAAUACAAAAGGAAACAAAAGGAAACAAACAAAGGAACGAAAAAAGAGAGAGAGAGAGAUGGAGAGGUAGAGAGAGAAAAAGAAAAGGUGUAAUGUUCACUGAUGCGCACGCAUAGGUACCAUGUCAAAGCCUCAAAGAGAGAGUUUUGUAGAGAGAGAGAGAGAUAAGGAUAGAGAGAGAAAGAGCUGACCUUUUGUAAAGCAAAAGCCAACAACACUUAACAUUACAGAUACAAUACACUACCACUACUGCUACUCUUCUUUGUCACUCUCUCUCUCUCUCUCCCCCUCUCUUUCUCUCUAAAUGUGGUCUUAGAUCUCUUCUCCUCGUUGAGAGAAUCUUCUUCUCUCUCUCUCUCUCUAUACGUAUGUUUUUUUUUUAUUUUUCUCUCUCCCUCUACAUGGUGUCUCGUGGGGGAUGUCGCAUCAUGUAGCUUUUGCUUUAGCACAAGUCAAAUGGGUGGGGUUGGAGAGAGAAAAAUAUUAGAGAGAAUAUGAGGAAGAAUAUAUUUAUUAUUAUAUUUUAUUAUAUUUUAUAUUUAAUAUUUAAUGGGAGGUAGUAAACAUUAAAAACAAAUGUGGAGAGGGGUGUGGUUUGGGUCAUUGGGUGAGAAAAAGCCGUUAAUUCCGAUGUCUUUUUCUUGAGGAAGUGGGUUUUUCUCCUGCAGUGAUUGUGAGAUAUAUGUUCAUUUUUUAAAAAUAUUGCAUGCACCCGGUGUACAAUACAUAUAAUACUAUAAAAUAUUAUUUUAGAAUUUUAUUUUUCACUUUUUUCUAUAUAAUAUAAAUGAGGAAUUCUCUAUUUUAUUAAAUAAAUUUUAAUUUAUUGAAUAACAUGAUAUCAGAAUCGUUACAGAUCUUUAUAAUCUUCGGUACGAUUGUUCAUAUACGACGACAAAGUACGUUGCAUAAUUAAUCUCUAUAAAACUACAUAAUCUUUUUAAUAAAAUAAUUAAUGUUCGAGCAACAUAUCUUUAAAUUUACUCAUUUUUUAUAUUAAAAAUUUUAAAAUAUUAUAGAUUACAAAAUAUGGAACAAAAUUUUUUUUUAUUUUUUGAGAGAUAGGUAGUACGCUAUCCGUUUCGUUUAUUUUAUUUAGAAAUAAACUUAACUGGAAAUGUGAAUUAAUAAAAGUUCGAACUUAGAUCUCGGAUACCAACCACUAAAUUUUUUGUCAGUUGCUGUAGGGACGGUCAGUAAUAUGGAACAAAAUUUAAUCUUUAGAUACUCAUGAUUUGAAUAUUGAGAGAGGGGGGGGGGGGNGACUACAGAAUGGUGCAGGCAAUGAUUUCUUUGUUUGACAGUCUUCCCUUGUUGGUGCAGAGAGAGAGAGAGAGAGAGGGGGGGGAGAGAAGGGAAGACAAUGCAGGGAAGUGUGGCAGAUCAGGUCUCUGUGCAGCUGAUGCAGAGAUCUCGAGGCAUGCUGUUUUACAUCUGUCGUGUACUGCUGUCAGUUUCUGCAGUAGGCCUGUGAAGUUUAUUUUGAAGCUGGAAGGGGAGGUAAAGGUAAAGAAAUUCAACUACUCCAUCAUCUUUUGUUUUGACUUGUUCUGAGCUGGGGACUUGGAGGAACUUUCACAUCACACUCACCUUGGGAGCUUAAACUGACCUCUAUUACUUUAUAGAUCCAAUUUAGUCCUAGCUUGUGAUCCUUUAUUUACUUUUUUUAGAAUUCAAUGUCUGGGAUUCAAUUUAAUCACAUUGUUUUUUAUCUUUAUUGCAGUUGUUGAUAAUUAAAAAAUGUAUGUACUUUAAUCAUAUUACUUAGCUAUUUAUUACCAUAAAAUUUUGUAUUGUAAAAGAUUAGAAUUUAUUGUAAACGGUAGUUAUUAAUUGCAACAGUAUUUAUUAUUGAAAAAAAGUUGAAUUUCUAGUAGUGUUAUGUUACAAUGAAACGUGAGAAAGUAAAUGAUUUGAUUUGGAGUUUUCUGUUUUGCUAUAAAAAAAAGGCAUUACGAAUAAUUUUAUACAGUGCUUUUAUUAAUAACACCCUUUAGAAAUAUAGUUUGUCAUAUGGUAUUAAAAUCGUACAGUAAUAUUAGACUAGCCAUUCAAACUUGUCUAAUCCUACAGUAGGAUUUAGUACUUAUUUAAUCUUUAAGGGUGUGUUUGGUUCGCACUAUGAAAGAUUACUAGCAAUAAAAAGAUGUUCGAGAAUUUUAUUCCUAUUAAUCCUAUUACUAAGAAUGUGACAUUCCUGUGUUUGGUUCGCACGGUUAUAUUAUUUAGUCAUGUUAUUUAAAUUUACAAAAAAUAUACAAUUAAUUUAUUUAUUUUCUUUAAUUAAUUUUAAAUAAUGCUACAAAAAAUUUCAACAUCUUUUUAAGAAAAAGGGAGAGAGAACAUAGGUUAGAGAGAGAGAGCAUAAUUAAAGAAAUAAGAAGAGAAAUAGAAUUGAGAUUAGAGAGAGUGAGAGAGUUGAGAUUUUAGAAAAAAAGGGGGGGAGAGAGCUUAGUUUAGAGAGAGAAAAAGAGUUGAAGUUUAGAGAGAAAAAAUAAGUUUAGAGAGAGAUAUGAGGUUAGAGUGUAAAGAAAAAUAAAACCAACUAGCCGGCGGAUAGGGAGAAAGAAAGAGAUUAGACAUAUUAUGAUUACCCCAAUUCAUUAAUAUGAGAAUACAGACCCUCCCUCAAGGGGAUGAGAUUAGUACUUUGGGAUGAAUCUCAUUCCCAAGUAAAUCUAAUAUUAACAACUAGAUUACUUAGUGCGUUUAGCCAAACACCGUCAUAUUUUUUUAUUUCUAUCGGAUUAAUAGGAAUCUUAAAAAGAUAGUGCAAACCAAACGCGCCCUAAAAGGUGAUGAAUAAACUAGUUAGCUAGACAGUUUAUGUUCAGCAUAAGCUAGCCCAUAUAUUUUUUAGGAUGUGAUAUAUUUAAUAAAAUUCGUUCAAUAGGUUAAUUAAUCUCGUUAGAUAUGAAGCUGUUAGUAUAUAUAUUUCGAUUAUUUAUUAAUACACUUAUUAAUUAUUUUAUGUCGAACUAUUUAUGUCUGAAAUUGUAGCGUAACUAAGAUUAAGCCUAGCUACAAAUCGAUUUUGUUAGUUUGCUGCGCUUCACCCCUCGUUGGGCACGAAAGAAGUUACGAUAUAUAUUUUUUGUAACAUAUAAUGUAUACUCUUCGUAAUUCAAAAUAAAGUCUAAAACUAAGAAUGCAUUUUGUGGAUCUACAGAACUAUAGAUUAAAAAGAAAAAAAAAAAAGAAGAAAGGGUAAAACCCGUGCAUGCAUGGAGCAUGGUGGUGUGCAUGCAUGCAUAGUCCUUUUAGCCUACACGUGAGACAAAGUUGGAAACCACUUCUCCUUGGUUUCGCCGAAAGGGCACGUACCCUCCCCUCCCCUCCCUCUCUCUUCACACACAUCUCCUUGGAGUAGCAAAAAAGAGAAGUUGAUGAACCUACAACAUGCAUGUUAAAGUUAGUUUUGUGUUAAGUGUUAAACACACACACACACUCUCUCUCUCUCUCUCAAACCCUAUUAUUAUAGGUAUAUAUAUAAUAAUGGAUAAUAUAGCUUUUAGAGAGAGAGAGAAAACAAAGAGAGAAGUUGCCCAAAAGUGAUAUAUAUGUAUACUUGGUGUGAGUUGUAGAUGUGUGUAAUACCCUCCAUUAAACCACCUUUAAUUAAUUUGCCCUUCUUUUUUUUUUCUUUCUUUUGUGUCCUGCUUUUGUCACCCAAGGACCUGUUGGUCAGCCUUGCACAUGCACAUUGUGACCAGCCUCUCCCCCUGAAUAAUAAAGUAAAAUAUAUUGUAGAAAAAGAAACAAUUUAAUCUCUCUCUCUCUCUCUCUCUCUCUCUCUCUCUCUCUCUCUCACACACACACAUACACACACACACACACACACAUGUAAUUAACAGGCCUCUUGAAGGAAAGUCCAAGGACCUAUCCUCUAUAAUUGCCCUUUGAGGGGCUCUUCCUUUGUGGGGUUUUUUUUUUGUUUUGUUUUUUUUUUUUUUUGUUUGUUUAAGUGUUUUUAGGGGUAAACCGUANUUUUUUUUUGUUUUUUUUUUUUUUUUUUUUGUUUGUUUAAGUGUUUUUAGGGGUAAACCGUAAUUUUCUGCAGGGACUCAAAAUAUUGCAUUUAAUUAUUCUGGAAUUUUAAUUUUAUUUUAUCAAAAAAAAUAUGCCGUUAAAUAAGAUAGUCAAGUUAAAUUUUUUGAAAACUCUAAAGUGCAUGAUGUUCUAUUUAACAAUUAAGUCAUUGCAGUAAAUUUAAAAUAAAAUUAUAGAAUACUUAAGUAUAACAUUUUAAAUCACGAGGACGAAAUACCUUGUGCGAUGAACUUGAACACUCUCGUGAUAAUCUGAUAGAUAAUCUGGCUGGAAAGAAAUAAUAUAAUUUUCAAAAAACAUAGCUCAGAACCUGUGGCAGUCAUCACGAAUAUCAAAUACCUUGUGUGAAACUAGAAAAUGUUUUGCGAUCACUGGACUUAACUUUUUCUUUCAUAUAAUUCCUUCCUUCUUUCUUUCUUUCUUUUUUUUUUUUGGCUCUUUUGGAGGCCUAGCUGUCUCACAUAUGUAGCUAAAUUCAUUUUUAUCAUAAAAUGAAGUGAGUAGUGUGCUACAUUAUUCUAAAAAGAAAAAAAUUAAAUCACAUAAUGGUAAAAUAAAAAUACACUAAAUUAUCUACUUAAUUAGGGUGGCAAAGUAAAAUUACCUAAACCCUACAGUGGCAUAAAUUAAAAUUUACUUUUUUAAAAAUUAAUGAAAAGGAGAACUCUCCACACAUUUUUACUUUGGUUGCGAUUCUAAGUAAUUGAAUCCGGCCAAAAAGAAAAUAACAAAAUAACAAGUUAUUUUCUAAAUAAUUUAUUUUAAUCGUACAUCUCACUUUAAAUUAAAUAUCUAACUAACGGGAUUGAAAUUAUAGAUCAGUUAAUUUGUUAUAUGGGUAAUGAUUAAAUGAAAAUGUGAAAUGUACGAUCAAAGUUAAUUUUAAAAAAAAAAACGAAAAAACUAUACUAAAGUUUGUAGUAAGUGGGUCCAUAAUCAACAUUGACUUUGUGGUCCAAAUCUUUAUGCUCUUCAAAUCAUAAACGGCCUAAAAAGCCCAACUAGCCCGUUAUGAUUAAUAUCAUGGGCCAAAUAUGGCCCAAGUUGGCCAACAUAUUCAAAUUUAAAUUGAAUUAAUUAAUGGUUUUAAAAUUUCUAAUCAAAAGUAAAUUGUAAUUAAUAGUUUUAAUGGAAAAAUUCAAAUAGCACCCCUGUGAUUUCACACUUUCUCACUUUAGUACUUUAUGAUUUAAAGUGUAUCAAUUUAGUAUUCUGUGGUUUCAUUUUUAUCUUUGUAUUAUCGAUCCCACAAAUUUUUUUCGUUAAAUCAGUGAUAAAGUUAAAAGUAAACGGUACUAAAAUAAAUAUUCGAUAAAUCUAGCUGGGUAUCUGAAGUUUUUGUAUAUAAUUUAACGAAAUAUUAACAAAAAAACAGAUGAAAAGAUAAAAAUAAAACUAUAAGACACUAACUUGAUACACUUUAAACCAUAUGAUACUAAAGUGAGAAAGUGUGAAAUUACGGGGAUGAUAUUUGAAAUUUACCCUUAUUUUAAUGAUGAGAAACAAAAAGUAAUUAUGCUUGUUCAAAUUGUAUUCCUCUAACUUGCCAUCCGAACCUCUCCUGCCCUAUUAAUAAAAUUGCAGUGGUUUAAUAUCAUAAUUUUACACUUUUUUAUUUCCCAAAAUUUUAAAACAAUAGAAUUUUGUAGCAAGAAUAGCGAAGUUUUUAAUUUUAUAAGUUCUAAUACCAAAAGCUAAAAUUGCAUUAAGAAAUUUUUCAGAGAUAAAAACUUACAAAACUUACGUGAACUAUGAAAUAUUUUGAAUCUGCUAUCCAAUUAUUUAAAAUUUUGAACAUUUCUGCUCGAAUAUUUCAAUUUGUUUGUUUUGAGUUAGUUAACGAUACUUUGGCUUUAAAAUUUAAACUAAUUACUUAUUUUAAUAAAUUAAUUAUUGCAAGAAUUGAAUGAAGUAUAUUAAUUAAAUCUGUAAUAAUAAACAAUGUAUUUAAAUUUUAAAAUUAAAAUAUUGUUUGCUUACUUUAAAUCAAAUAAAUUAAAAGUUUAUAUAGUAAAUUUAAAAAUUUGAAAGGUUGGAUAGUUAAGUCAAAAUGAUAUAGUAAAAUCUCAAUAUUUUUUUUUAAUAAAAUGCUUAUAAAUUUUAACCUUUGAAAAAACACAUUUAUUUAUUUAUUUAUUAUUUGUUUGUUACAUAAGAUUAGUGAUGCAUUUGUAUAAAUUAUAUUAUAUUACUAAGGAUUCCAUUAAUACUUUCCUUGGGGAAAAGUAACCCACAAAACAGGGUAAAAAAAAAAAAAACAAAGAACGAUGUGGCGGAGAUCCGCCUCUUUCGUCGUCGACAAAAGGUACUACCAACACGACGAGCUCCCCCUCGCCAUGGACCCCCAAAACCCUAACCCUAACCCUAACCCUAAUGCCAACCCCCUCUCCGCCUACUACCUGACCCGCGCCGAGCACCACGCCGUCGUCACCAGCGACUGGCUCGCGCAGGCCCAGGCGGCCGUCGGCCGCCACCCCUCGCCGCCGCCGCCGCCGGAGACGAUCGCCGGCGGAGGCGGCGGGAAGGAGAGGGGGUUCGGCGUGAUCGACGAGUUCAACUACUGGAGGAAGAAGCCCGACCUCGCCGAGGCCGUGGCCGCGAUCAUGGCCCUCGCCGCGGUGAUCCGCUCCAGCGAGGCCACCACCAUGAUGGAGCUCGAGAUCGAGCUCAAAACGGCCUCCGACACCCUAAAGGUAUCGCCUUUAAACCUUAUCUACUAUCUCGAGCUUAAUAAGUUCCUGCUGUGUUGUUAGUAAUGCCUCAAAAUUAGAUCUAAAUGAUGGUUUCCUUUUGAGUAUUACAAUUAGAAACCCUAGAGUAUCGCCGAAGUUGCUGAAUUGGCGCAUAUAGCGAAAAAUGUCGGUUUCACUGGAGAAGUCCUUAGCUUGGGAACAAAAAUUUGUGUUUUGAUCUCAAUUUUUCGGCAAUUAUUUUCCUCCUUAUUGUUUUUUCCUUCCAAUUUUUCUCCGCCAAUUUUUAAUACUUGGAGAUGCCUCUAUAUUCACAUUCUGUUAGUUGAUUUAUGCUUAAAAUAGAAAAUCUUCACAAACUGUUCUUCAUUCCAAAAAAACAGCUUUGAGUGAUAUAGUAUUAGUUGAUGAUUUCCAGUAUUAGAUUAAUGCAAGCUUUUCGAAAAUGUUUGGCAAGUCAAAAUGUUUUCUUUCUUAAAAUUUCGAUGGAAUUCACUUUAUUAGAGUCUAUUGUAACAUUAGGAGUUAUGCUACUUUGUCUUUUAUUUCUCAUGACCUUAUUUACUGUUUACAUAACGGACAUUUUACGUCCGCAUUGCAGUCGUGGGAUACGACCUCUAUAUCCUUGUCGGCCGGUUGCGAUCUUUUUAUGCGAUAUGUCACCAGAACGUCUGCUUUGGAAUAUGAGGACUUCGAUGCUGCGAAACGUCGUUUAAUUGAGCGAGGAGAAAAGUUUGGAGAGAUUUCUCUAAAGGUUUAAAAUAUUUCAUGGAUUACCUCUUCCUUUACCGAUUUGCACUCCGGAAACUAAAUACAUGUGAAUUCCGUUUCACCAGGCGCGGAGAACUAUUGCCAUGCUUUGCCAGGAUUUCAUAUUUGAUGGCUGUACGAUUCUAGUCCAUGGUUUUUCGAGAGUAGUCUUAGAAGUUCUGAAGCUUGCGGCAUCUAAUAGGAAACUCUUUCGAGUUCUCUGCACAGGUCAUUCCACACAAUAGUUUGCUUCUUUUAUUUUUUUUGUGGCUGUGAAAACGGAUAACACUACCUGAACCGUAGUCCAUUUUAAGAUGGGUACCUGGACUCUAAACAGUUUUGAUUUUAAUACCUAAACUUUCAUUCUUUCGAUUUCAGCACGUCACCGUCAGAUACUAUCGGUUUCCGUAAUAUGAGUUUUCGACUAUUACUUCCGGUGAAAAAUAUUUUGAAGACUACAUACAUAAUAUUCUGUAAAAAAAGGUCUAAAAAAUUGUUGAUUCCUGAUGGCGAGGUAGUGAAAUCUAAGGAGAUUAGUACUGAAAUUAUAGCUUGUGGAGUUCAGGUACUCAUUUAAAAAAUAUAUACACGAUACGUCAGGUAGUGCCAGUAUGUUCUAACCUUUUCUUCCUUAAGUUUUCUAAGCUUUGAUCUCUAUGUGAUAUUAAUACCUUAAUAUUCAAAAAUGCAGAGGGAAGGCCAGAUAGAACAGGGUUACGAUUCUCAAAUGAACUUUCGGCACUAGGAGUCCCUGUUAAGCUUCUGAUUGAUUCUGCUGUGGCUUAUGCUAUGGAUGAGGUUGACAUGGUCUUUGUUGGUGCCGAUGGGAUUGUUGAGAGCGGAGGCAUCAUAAAUAUGAUGGGGACAUAUCAGAUUGCUUUAGUGGCUCAUAGCAUGAAUAAGCCUGUCUAUGUAGCUGCCGAAAGUUAUAAGGUACUGCUUUCAGAUCAUAUCGACCUUUAUCAUUUUCUUCGGGGUAAAAUGAAUAGAAUGUCCCUGUGAUCUCCUGAUAUUGAACUUGGUUCUUGACUUCUAACUUAAACAUUCUCAUCCCUAAAAUAUCCUAUAUAUUGAGAUGCACCUGGUGCCCUUUUGCAUCCAAAAUACUUGAUAUUCAUCAAUUUUAGUGCUCAGCAAGCACAUAACACUUUUCCAUAAUGUGACCAUUUUAUAAACUAGGGAAGUCAUUACAGUAUAUAGGGUUAAGGGCCACUUUCAGAAAAAGAGUCACUUGCUGAGCACGUGACUCAUUGGACAUCGGGUGCUUCAGACGGUUAGGAAUUUAAUUGCAAUAUAUAAGAGUAAACUACAGGGUACUUCUGACAGCUAAGUCGCAAUAUUUUUUCAGGCUUUUCUUUGCAGAUCUGUAUAUAAACGUAUAGGUACUUGCAUUUGUUGCUCUAAGCUUUUCUUUUCUUUUGGCUAGUUUAUCUUCACCCUCGAGAACUCAAACAUAGUCCUUUAUGUCGUUACCAAUCUCUUCGAGAUGACUUUUUCAAAUGCCAUCUUAACCAUGUGUUCUUGUUCAAACAAAGUUGAAAACUUGAAAUACAAGAAACAGGUUUUACUAUUGUAUCAUUUAGAAAUGCAAGCCAUUUUUUUUUUUCUACAUUGGUAUUCAAACUAAUUGAAUUAUUUCUAUAGGAAUAUCGAAUAGAUAAGAUGUAUUCUCGCUAAAUUUUAUCAUUUAGAUUUACGCUUUUGAAGGAUCGUCAGCUUGGAUUUAAUUGUGUCGACUUUUUUUGAUCAAUGUCUGAUAUCUUGCUGCUUAUAUGUAUAAAAAAAAAAUCCCAAAUUUUAUUCCUAAUCGAGUUCUUCGAUUUUCCUGCUUCCUUCAUUCCUGCGCGCCAUAGUUUGGCGGCUUUUGCACUUUUACCUGAAUAUCAGCUAUUACUACAUGAAAAGCAUGUUCUUAUUAUAGUGAUCAUUCUUGCAGUUUGCACGCAUGUAUCCGUUGGACCAAAAAGACCUAGCACCGGCCCUUCGCCCAAUAGAAUUUGGUGUUCCUAUACCACCCGGUGUCGAGGUCGAGAAAUCUGCGAGGGACUAUACUCCACCUCAAUAUCUUACGCUCCUUUUCACCGAUCUCGGCGCCCUAACUCCAUCUGUCGUAAGUGAUGAACUUAUUCAACUGUACCUAUGAAUCGUGUCUUCGGAAUCCGACUGCUAUGUUAUGCUUUGUAUUGUAAAAACUGGGUUUCGAAACUAUAUUCAUUUCAAAGAAAGGGAGUGAAAUGAAUGGAGAGAGUAUAUUUUGUAUUAGAAAACCAACAAAAUAGGGAUGAAGCCAUGUAUUUUAUUUAAUUUUUGUUCUGAUAUCAUAUGGCUCUGCAUGUAAAACAUUUUGCAGUGUUUUGGUCCGCACCUUGGCAAUGUAAAAUUGAUUUGAAAACAUUUCGGGAUUUGUCGCGCUCUUUUUCGGUUGGUUAUUAUGACUUUUCUGAUGUUUUUAUCAUUCUUUCUGAGUCCAAAUGCCAGAUAUUUGUUCAGGUUAUGUGUUGAGCAUUAGCAGGUUUUCAAUUACCAUUUCUAUAUUGGUGGUGGGAUGAGUUAUUCAGGAUGCUUUUUAAGAAUCCUAAGAAUAUCCUCGACAUACAUACAUACAUACAUACAUACAUAUGUAUCCGGCUACUAUACUAUUAUGAGUACGAUCGCCCUCGUACUCAUAAGUUGUUUUCGAUGAUAGAGCUUCUGAAUCUACGAUCCACACCGUUAAACGUUAUCUAGAGCAUUUGAAACAUCUAUAAAUUAAAUUUUAUAAUUUUUCGACAUCAUUUAUCUUACGAUCAAAAGCUCACAAAAUUGACAAUUUUUAACGGCUGGUAUGGAAUAUUUGCUAGUUUAACGGUGCAAAAGAAUCGGAAUAAGUUGAAUUUUUGAUAGAAAAUUCUAUUCACUAUCUAGAUAAAGAUCAAUAACUCUGAUCUUAAAUUGAAGAAGGAUCCGAUCAUCUAUUUUUAAAACAUCGUUCGAUUUUGACCGUUCAUUUUAUGCCCGCUUGAUGGAUUUUAUUAUGAUUUCGAAAAAUUACGAAAUUUAUUUUCUAGAAGUUUCAAAUACUUUAGAUCAUAUUUAACGGAGUGGAUCGUCGAUUCGAAAGCUCUAUUAUCGAAAACAACUUAUGAGUACCGAAGGGUCCAAUACUCAUAAUAGUAUAGUAGCCCCACUCUCUCUCUUUCUCUCUCUCUCUCUCUCUCUCUCUCUCUAUAUAUAUAUAUAUUGUAAAUAUAGAUCUAAAUCUUAUACCCGUUGCAUCAUAGGAUUUUCGAAAACUCAUUUGGAUUGCUCUUUUUAUAAAAUAUAUAUGUUGUUUAGAUUGCAAACCAUGAGUAACAGAGAAGGUUAAGUUAAAGAGAUAUGAGUUUGUUGUUAUAUAUACAAACUUUUUAGAAUACUAGUUGAAUGUACGUGCAAAUGCACGUAACAAUUAUUAUAAUUUAUUUUAAAUCAGUAUACAUUUGCAUAUUAUAUAUAUUCAAAAUUUUACAAUAAAAACUAUAUUUAUAAAUUAAUUUGUUAUAUUUUAUUAGAAAAUAUUUACAAUAUCUUACCGUGUUCUUUUAUUUAUAUAUAUAUACAUCAAACAUUUUUAUAUACUUUUUGAUUUUUGAUAAAUCAAAUUUAAGUAUGUGUUUUAAAUUAAAGCAUAGAAAUUUAUUUACUUUAAAAUUUAAAUUUUAAUUUUGAUCCACUGUAACAAAAAAAUUAAUUGUUGAUUCAAAUUUGAUAUAAAAAAUUAAUUAAAUUUAAUUUAUAAUUUAAACUCAAAUUUUAAUUUUAAUGUAAAAUAGAUUAAUAGAAAUGCUAUUUUUUUAACAAAUUGAUCAUAGCCAUUUAUUUUUGUUUGAGAUAUUUUUUAACAAAUUGAUUAUAAACGUAGGAUUGAAUUUAUAAAUGGAUAGGAAUGCUAUUUUUAUAUAAAUUGAUCAUAGCUGUUCUUUUUUGAAAUAUUUUUUUAACAAAUUAAUCAUAACCAUUUAUAGGGAAUAGAUUUCAAUAUUUAGUAGAGAUUUUAUAGAUUGAUCAUAACCGUUCGUUCUUAUUUGAGAUAUUUUUAACAAAAAAAAUCAUAAUCAUUGAUAGGGAAUAUUUUUUUAUUCUUUUUUGGAUUCUGUCUGUCAUUGUCGGAAUUCCUAUACCCUUUUAUAUAUAGUAUAGAUAUAGAUAUAGAUUAAUAGGAUAGCUUUCCCAAAGGAGGAUUAAAACUAUCCUAAACUAUUAUAAUAUAUAAAUAUCGGAUUAUUCUCAACUAACAUUAUCCCAAAUUAUAUCAUUAGCUCAAAAGUUUUGACAAUAUAAACACAUAUAUGUUUCUAUGAUCUCUUUAUUUUAUUUUUUUUUUUUACCAAUGAUUAAUCAAGAAUUAAUCUACCUCUAAUUAACAUCUUAUUCGAUCCACUCGCGAAAAAACACAAUAAACUUAGACUUCAUUAAUCAAACAAGACGAGAAUUACACCCUUAGCCUGGUAAUUGUGAUGCAACUCCUUAAAAACACUAAACACAAAUUAAACACAAAACGCACGUAAAAGAGUGGGGACAAAAAAAAAAAGAAAAAAGUAGAGCUAGUGCAUGAAUGCUCGCGUUUCUCAUUCAUGGUUUGAUCUCUUGGGAAGCAACCGAGCUCGGAGCUCCGCGGCGUCGACCUGGUCGAACCGGUUCUCCGGUACCCAGUAUCCCGUUUUCGGGUCCCUCAUCCAGAACACCUCCUUUCCCUCCGCUGCCGCCUGCUUCGCGGUCGUCGCACCCUCCGUCCUCACCACCGUCGAUGUCGCUGCAUGCGCAGCAUGCGAACUCUCCGUCGCGAUGCUGUAGCAACGUCGACAACUGCGACAAAGAAACAAAACAAAAUUAAAAAACAGCUUUAUGAUCAUGAUAACAACAAUUGCAAUAACACAGCAAGAACAAGAAGAUCGGAAGAAGAAGAACAAGGAGAAUAAAAGGAAGGUGCGUGUGUGUAAGUGCAACGUGUAAACUUACGUGAGAGAGAGCAUCUUAGAGAUGAAAACCCUAGACAUUGUUACAGAGAGAGAGAGGGCUAGAGAGAGAAGAGAGUGUGUUAAUUGUAAAGUGAUUGGUACGUAAUGAGUGUAGGGUUUAAGGGGUUUAUAUAGAGAGAGAUAGGAGAAUAUAUUCUAGCAAAGUAAUUUAAAGUAGCGCGGCGCGUCUUAAAAUAUAACGAAUUAGGAUUCGCUGCACGUCUCCUAUCAAAGUUGUUGCAAGGUCUUCUAAUCUUAUUCCUUAUGGCAAAGUCGUUGCAAGGUCUUCUAAUCUUAUUCCUUAUGGCAGCGUUUGGUUAGGGAAUAGGAAUAGGAAUAGGAAUAGGAAUAGGAAUAGACUCUUAUCCCCCUUUAUACCUACUAAUUUUUUAUUCGAAAAUAGUAGUUCUCGGUUAUCCCCACCAACACCUUCAUUUUCUAUAUAAAACUACCUAAAAUUAUUUUUAUAUCCGGAAACAACCCAAUUUUCAUCAAAAUACUAUUUUUCUUAUCUCCAUACUUGUACCUAUUCCUAUAAUAACUAGCUCUUACUUAUACCCGAACCAAACGGUAUAAUAAAAUUUAUAUUGGUAUUUAUUUUGAAUGGAAUAUGAGACGGACGGCUUCGAUGUUUUUUGGUGUUGAUGAAUGGUCGGAAAAUUUAUGCCUAUGUGCAUCCUUUAAAAAUUUAUUUAUUAGAUAUGGUUGGUGAUAUUUUAAGUAUAAAAAAAUUGAAUUUUUGAAUGGUUAGUUCUAUGGAUCAAACAACUUCUCUUUUUUUCCUCACAGCUUUUUUUUUUUUUUUUUUAAAAGCUUGUUGAUUGUUGGUUAAUUUUUGAAACUAGUAAUGUUGAGCUAAUAUAUAUAUAUAUAUAUAUAUAUAUAUAUAUAUAUAUAUAUAUAUAUAUAUAUAUAUAUAUAUUAUAUAUAUAUAUAUAUUAAUAUAUAUUAAUAUAUAUAUAUACUAGUAAAAUGUACGUGCAAAUGCACAUAAUAAUUAUUAGAAAAAGUUAUAAUUUUUUUAAAUUAUUUUUUAAUUUUAGGCCUAUUUUUAUGAUUGCCAAAUGUGUAUCUAAAAAAUUAAAAUAAUAAAUCACGCUAUUAAGAAAGAUAUGCUUUAAAUGAUAAUAAUUAACAAUAAUCUUAAUGCAAAAUUGCUUUUAAAUUAAAUAGAAAAUAAAAUCUGUUAGGAAUAAAAUUUUUGAAAUUAAAUAGAAAAAUAAAAUCCGUUAUCUUAAAAAGAAAAUAUAUUUUGAAAUUAAAUAGAUAAUAUCUAAAAAAGAUAUUUUAAAAUAAAUGGGAAAAUAUCUUUUAUAAGAUUUUCACACUCGUAAUCUGUUAUAGAAAACUUACUUUUGAAAUUAAAUAGAAAAAUUUAUAUUUUAGGAUUUUCACAUCAAUAAUCUGUUAUAGAUAACUUACGUAUUCAUUGCUGUUCUAUUUCUAUUUUUAUUCUUAUAUUUAAAAUUUUUCGUACGGAAAGAGAAAAAUGGGCGCUAAUUUUUCCGCCGAAAAAUGGGUCUGUCGACAGACCCAAAUUUGAAUAUACGUGCUUUUAUAUAUAGUAUAGAUAUAUAUAUAUAUUCUUUAGAUAUUACAAAGCAUGUUUAUUUUUUAAUUUGAAGAUAUUUGUGUUGAAUAUAAAAAUAAAAAAAAGCGUUAAAAUGAUUGUUUCAUAUAUUUUUUGCUCGAAUUCUGAAAUUGCAUUGACUUUUCGAUUAAUUAAAUUCAAAAGUACCAAUGAUUCGAAGUCAUCUUUGAUAGAUUAGAUGCUAGCCGUUUCCAUAACAAAUUCAAAUCGAAUUGAGAGUGAGAAAAGCUUAAAAACAAAGUAAGAGAUUUUCACAUGCCAAUUUUGCAUGUUUAUCUAGCUUUUCAGUAUUUUCCUCACAAGUAUUAAUUGGGCACCAAAAAUAUAGAAAUUAGGGUCUAAUUUAGAUUUUCUUGUUGAUAUUUAAACGUAAUAAUUAAACCUAUAUUUCAAAUUGGGCACCAAAAAUAAAACUACUACUAAGAUGUGCGCGCGUGGUCAAAGUUGACUUGGGUCAACGGGUAUCCAAUCCAUUCGUGGCAUUCAAUAACGCAACAUUUGCAUUUUGUCUCAAAAAAAUAACCUCGGAUUAAUUUAAUAAUUUGGUGCUUAUAAAAAGGUUAUCAUUAUGCUUAAUCUUAAUUAAGCACAGUAUUUGAAAGAAGCAUAUUUUUCCAAAUCGAAAAUAGAAUAUUUUUCAUUAUCUUUCAACUUAAGCUUUUAAAAGUAAAGAAUUAUUCUAAACAAUAUUCGGCACGACGUUGACUCGACUCCACGUUUUCCAGGCAAACAAUAGUACCUGCAUUUAAUUUUAUAAUAAAAACAAAAAACAAAAAAACAAAACUAAAACAAAUGUAUAGUAAUUAGUUUUAUUUAUUCGUGUAUAUAUUAAUUAAGAUCCACUUAAUUAAUUAUUACACAGCUCAUCAUUUAUAUGGUCAUAGUAAAAGGGUUAAUUUUAUGCAGGUCUCUAUAAACAUAGUGAAUUGUAAAUAUAUUUUUAUAAAAUUUAAUUUUCAUAUGUUGUUUCUAUAAAAGUCCUGAUUUUUUUAAAUAUGUUUCUGUCGUUAGGAUCCGUUAAAAAAAAUUAGUUAACAAUGGAUAAAAUACUUAACCUUAAUUAGUUAAUGAGGUGAAUUGAUCUUUUUCCCUCUCUUUAAUUAACCGUUGGGAUUUUUGAAGAAACAUAUUUUGUUGGGAAUCGGGUACUCGCCCCGUUACCGAAUUUUGUGAAUCCGCAACCCGCACCGAUAUCGACGGUUGUUAGAUUCGGUACUAAUUAUUGGGAUUCCGCAACGGAAGCAUCGAAUCAUGUUUUUACCAUAAAUCUAUCUCUUUAGCAAAAAUUGAUACAAUCACAAAAGAGAGAAAAAUCAAAACAAAAAAUAUACGGAUAAAAUAAAAUUCAUUAAAUAAGAGAAGAUAAUACCUAACUCUUCUUCUGCAUAGAGUAGCUACAAUCCGAGCCAUAUUUUUUAUUCUCUCGUACUCUUCUCUCGUAUUCUAUAAACCCAUAAAGUAGAGAACUUUCCAUGUUCACUCGUGCACUAGGUGCACUCAACCAUAACUUUCUCUCUCCUAAAACGGUUUCAUCCAAGAAGGCAUUCUUUUUUACAGUACUCCCUACUCCAAAAACAUUACAAAAAGUGCUUUUAUAAUGCAUCCUUUAAAAUGUACGCGAAUUCUAAUCCAAUUAGGAUUUCUAUUCCAAUUAACAUUUAAAUCUAUAUUUCAUUUAUCUCCAAUAGAUUUAAAUAUUUAUCCUAGUCUAGUUAGAUUAAUAUUCUAAUUAAUAUUAUAUCUUAAUUUAUCUCCAACAAAUUUAAAUAUUAAUUCUUAUCUAACUAGAUUUAAUCUACAAAUCUAACCAAAUCUUAACGUAUUUGUGAUGGCAAAGAGGUUAUUUUACUUAUAAAAUAAAUAGUAUUUUAACGAUAAUAAAUCAGAAGGACAUAUUUGAAAAAUUAGAAUUUUUACAGGAAAUAUGCGAAAGUUAAAUUUUAUAGAAAUGCAUUUAUAAUUUACUAUAUUUGCACGAAACUGUAUGAAAUUAACCGUAACAUAAACAUAUAUUAUAUAGGUAUUUUCUUCUUCUUCAUGUAGGAAUGAAUAUUAAGUAAUUAGGUUUAAUUUAUUCCUCGGCUUUCUUAGGAAGCAGUUGUGCUCUGAGUUCUGCCACGUCAGCCUGGUAGAACCGGUUCUCGGGGACCCAGAACCCGGUCUUCGGGUCCCUCAUCCAGUGCACCAUCUGUUGCUGGUCUACGCGUAGUAGUAUCCUCUGCUGCAGUGCCACGUAAGCUGUGUCUGACACCAUGCAGUACGUACGUGCGCGUGCUGCUGACGUGGAAUAUACGAGGGAGCGUACGUGCGUGCGUGCAUGCAUGCAUGCAUGCAUAGGGGAGUGAUUAAUUUAUAACAAGAGUCGCUUAAUUAUCUAAAUUAAUUAGAUAAAUUAGUUAAUUAAUUUUACCUGAGCAAGAGAGCGGAGAACGAGCUAGGCCUUCGACAUUGUACGUACGUCCUCACGCAGGAGAAGCAAUAGAAAAAAUUAAGUGGAGUGUGAAGAGGUUUUGAGUGGGUUUGGUACGUAGAGGCCGUGGAAGGGGUUACAUUAGUGAGGUGUUGGGCUAAUUAAUUAGUUUUCAAUUAAUUAAUACGUCUUUUCACCAAAAGAUUAAAAAAAAAAAAAGAAAGCAAAAGAAAAAGGAAAAGUACUUAAUAAUUAAGGAUGCUGUUAAAUAUAUAUCUCGCAGUUAUCCAAGAAAGUGUUAACCAACUCAGGCUUAACUGAAAUCGAAUCUAAAAAAUCUAAUUAAUAGAUUUGAUUCGGGUUCGAAGAUUUUAGAAAACUAUGAUACGUGGCAUGGUUGGUUCUAGUUUCUAGUUUUAAAUUAUAUCGUACAUAGCAUGAUUAAUUCUCAUUUUGUUAUCGAUUACAAUGAGAAUUUAUUAAUAAUAAUAAUUCAAAUCUAUAAAUAUCAUAACCUUGAGUGGAAUCGCGCCGCCCUCAUAUAAGAUCAUAAAUAUUCUCUGGUUUCUACCUGGUUUCCUUCCAACUAGGGUGGACCUUACUGGAGAAAAUGAGACUUAUAAUGAACACGUAUAGAGGAAUGAGAUACUCAACGUAUAGAUCGAUAGAGACUAUAUGUAAAAUUCCAAAGCUUUAUUAUAUAUUCUCACACCUUUGAUUGGUCCUCUCACUCUAUCCUCUUGCUACAUCUCAAUCAUUAAGAAACAAGGCCAUAUGUGAUCGAUAAAAGUGUACAAGUUCCCUUUCAAUUUGGUUUUAUAACGCUUUCACCAUCGAGUUUAAUGGAACGGUGAGAAAUUAAGGUCCACUAAUUAAGAACUAACUAUUUAGCUGAACACAUGAAUUUGCAAGUUGACCAUUACUCUUAAACUCAUAGGCGAUCACGAUGACUAACAGAUAUUUGACCAUCGAAUUAAUAUAAACAAGAGUUUAAUUUGUUGUGGAUUGCGAUAAUAAUGUUUUGAAAGUUAGCGGUUUUGAAGAAACUGUUUCGUUCUAAAAAAAAAAAAAAUUCUGUAAUUAUGUGACAUCAACAUAGGGUUAAUACCUAAAGUUGCUAUAUAUCUCCACUAAUUUUUCAAAUGGCUUUUGAUAUAUUUUGCAUUUUGUUUUUUUUAGAUUGAGGUAACACAUAAAACAAUAACCUUAGAUCACACAAAUAUGAUUAUUUAUUGAUACUCUUAAUAUGCUAAUAAUUCAUGAACUUUCCAAAAGACAUGGAGUAUUAUUAUUCUUUUUUUCAGCUAGACAUAUCUUAUCACCGAGCACUAAGUAUAUCUUACAGGUUGCAAAUCUCUUUCCCAAUUAGGGUGAAAAGUUGUCUCUUUUCUUAUAGUUAGGCAUGCCACUUUGCGAAUUGUUUUUCAAUCUUUACUCAAUUUUUUUUUUUAAUUUUUAUUUUAGCUCCCAAUCUUUUCGUUCUUAUAAUUAUAUUCUUUGCCUUUAGUAUCUGUUACAUUUAGUUUUUGUCAUUAAAAAUAUCGUUAAUUUUGGCAAAAUUUAUCAUAUGGCAAAGUUUGGUACUGAUGCCGUAUUGAAGUGACAAUUAUUAUUAGUUGGUACUAACAUGAUAUUCGUCAUUAGAGUUAACAACGCUUUAAAAAGUGAGACUUACUAAUUGAAAUCAACAGUAAAAAGUUAGGGAGCUAAUUACAAAAAAUUAAAAAGGAUCACUAGAUUAAUGGUUUAAUAUUAUAAUUAAUAACAUCUUAGAUGCUACUUUUUGCUUAAAAUUGGGCCAAAGCCUAAACAAGGCCCACAGACCGAGUCUAAUUUGGGCUAGAUUUUAAAAUUUUCUGUUGUGGUGGGGCCUCAAAAUAUUUAGGCCCAAAAUAGUUUCAUGUUCACUAUUUACGAUGAAAAAGUAUGAUAAAAAUUAUUCUUUAUAUUUAUAUUUGUAUAAAUUGUAAUGAUUUGAUUACGAGAUAAUUUUUACGGUCUCAUUAAAAAACGCAAAAGUGAGCAAAGCUUUGCAAGAGCAUUUAUUUAGAUUGUAAUUUUUCUAAUAUACUGUAGCUGUAAUGUAUAAAUUUUAACAAAUUUAACAUAUUUGUUUUUACUAAUUUUUUUUUUAAAUAUUGAUUUAAGAGUUGACCACUGCAUGUAUCUAUGUUAAAAUGGGGACCGUCGAUUUCACCCUCGGAGGACGAUGGCCACUUCGCACCUGCUGCUGACGUGGCAUCCCCAAAUUGGCAAUUAAUUAAUGGAUCCCAAUGAAGUGCGGGGGAUACGGACCCAAAUUAUCGGAUCCGAACGAACCGGACCAUAAUCGGUCGACCAGACCCAAAUGCGUGUACCCAAUCGGGUUCGGACCCGAGUCGAACCGCACCAAUUUGUAGUUAAAUUAACGGCUAAUAACGACCCCCACCGCCCACUAAUAAAAUAGAGCCGACCAUCUCCAACUUGAUCGGGUUUGUUAAUUGUGCACGAAUUGCUGCAAAUUAGUCAAAAUUGUGAAAAAAUUACGUUAUAUGUGAUAAAAAAGUGUGAUAAAAAAAUAAAAUUAUUUAUUUAUUUUCGUAUGCAAUAUCAUAUUGCAAUAUAUUUUUAUAAUAAAUAUUUAUAAUAACUAACUGUCCCUAGAGCAAGUGACAAACAGCUUGGUGGUUGGUACCUGAGACCCAAGUUCAAAUCUUAGUUGAUUCACAUUUCUAGUUAAGUUUAUUUUUAAAUGAAAUAAACGAAGCGGAUAGCGUGCUAUAUAUCUCUCAAAAUUUUUUUUUUUUUUUUAUAAUAUAUAUUUUUUAUAAUUUUAUUGUAAAAUACGAAAAUAUAAUUUUAAUAUAUAGAAAAUUAGUUUACGCGCUUUCGGUAGGAAAAGUUGCUGAUGAAACAUGAAAAACCUACACCGAAAGUAGCUGAUCAGGUUGUAACUUGGAUCGUCCUUUAAAGCACUUUUAGUUUUUUCUCGCAUUUCCGAACUAAAAGUUAUACUUUUUCAAAAAAUUUUAAAAAAACCAUUUGUUUUUUUUUUUAAUGUUAUUUGAAUCUAUGAUUCCAUCAAAUAAAUGCAUCUAAGCUGACUCAUUUUUUUGCGUCUUCAACGCUAAUGCUAUCUUUUUCAAUCUCUCUGUGCACACACUCUUUCUCUCUCUCUCUCUUCUAAAGCUAAAGAGGAGCAAAUAUCAAAUAGAAGAGGGUGUAUAUGUAAAGAGUCCAAAAGGGAAAGUUCUCACAAAGGAAGAUCAUAAAGGUACAUCACUUGUAUGAAUCCUCUGUAUUCUCCUUUUCUUUCUACUUGUUCAUUCAUUUCUCCUCUCUAAUUCAUGCAUGAAAAAGUUGGAAUAUAUCUUUGUUUUUGCUUUUUUGUUAGUUCUUGGUCACCCAUAAGUGGAUGAUGAUACCAAAAGUUGUUGGUGGCUUUUUGAGUCCUUUGAUAAGGGGAAAGAAAAAGAGAAAAAAAAAAAAAAAAAAAAACUUGAACAAUUGGGAUUUGAGAUCUCCUACUCUACAAUUGUGAUUACUAGUUUUGUGAGUGAAAAGGGGCUCUUUUUUUUUUUUUUUUCUAGCUGUGUUACUAAGGAAGGUUCUACACACAAAUACACAAUGAUGAACAAGCAUAAAAAGAGAGCCCAUCCAAUCCCCCCUCCAAGUAGUGCUACUGCUAUAUCAGAAAUACUGUUUUUACUAUUAUUACUAUUAUUAGUAGUGUUACUAGUUUGUAUAAUUAAUACUAUUUUUUUUUUUUUGAGAAAAAAAUAAUACUAUUAUUAAUUUAUUACUCCUCCACCCUUAUAAGACUUCUACUUGGCUAUUUGUUGUUUGCUCUAUGUGGUGCUUUUCUGAAUCCGUGAACUUGUCGUUUUAGUCUCAUCGACUUACUUUAUAUGUAGAUUCAUGCAUGUUCAUAAAGCUUAUUCCCAGUUAUAUAGACUAUUGUGUUUUGGUGAUCUUGCUUUUACAGGUAUUGAAGUGAUCUUCUUUGUGUAUAUAUAUUAUGUACUUAGGUGCAUGUUCUAAGUUACAAGUUGUUGUGCUACAAGUGAAUGGAACAAAAUGUUCCCAGCUGAGCCAUGGAGUGGUCGGAAAAUCUCAAGCCGGCUUCGAACUACCCACCCGAAAGCCGAACUGAGGGCUUUAGCUCACCAGGCCAGGGCUUCUUGCAAGGUCCCACUAACAUCAACCCUCGACCUCCCGUGUUUUUUGUACCAACUGGCGUUAGGCAUGUCUUGAAUUACUCUUUUCAGACCGGCGAGGAGUUUGCGCUUGGAUUCAUGCAAGAACGGGCCAGCAAUUCCCGCGAGCCUUCUCUUCUUCCGACCACUUCUGAAGAACAGAGUUAUGCCGAUCAGAGGACGGUGCCAAUAAGCCCUCACGUCGGUCUCAGAAGUGCUUCUGAUGCACCAGCGACGAAUGCAGUUUUAGAGACUGAGAAGAAAGGCCCUCCCUCGUUGCGGCGCUUUGCUUUAGGUGCUUCAUCCGAAGAUGUACGCAGCCCGGGAUUCGGUAAAAGGUACGAUGAUUCCCCUGUGUCUUCCGAAUUGCCGCCAACUAAGAUGAAGUUCCUCUGUAGCUUCGGCGGGAAAUUUUUACCCAGACCAGGUGAUGGAAAGCUUAGAUAUGUUGGAGGUUACAAUCAUGUCCUUCAGCUGAACAAAGACAUAUCAUGGCGCGAGCUCUUGCGGAGAACGCGGAAGUUGUGCAACAAAUUUCACGCAAUCAAAUACCAAUUGCCAGGGGAGAACAUUAAUUUGCUGAUCUCCGUGUCCUCCGACGAAGAUUUGCAUCUUAUGAUGGACGAGUGCAGAGUCUUAGAAGACGGUGAACACAAGCCCCGGAUAUUUCUUUUCUCUUCGGAGGACGGCGAUGUUGAUGAUGGCAGUGUGCAUUCUAAUGUAGGAAAAAUUGAUGCCGACGCUGAAAGGCAGUAUGUGAUUGCUGUAAAUGGCUUGGAUGGAUCAGGCGAUGCAUUCAAUAAGCGCGCGAGUGCUUCUGCGACUGAAAUGGAUCAGUUAAUGUUCGAGCUCGGCGAGGCUAAGAUGAGCAAAAGUGCUUCUAGUUCAGCUACUGUAUCUGCAAUGGAUUUGAUUACUCCGCUGAAGACACCAUCUAAACCUAUUCAAGUUAAACAGCAUAUUGGAGUAGCGGCUUAUUUGAAAAAUCAAGACAAUGAAGAGCAGUUCGAGGAGGAUGACAUGUACCUAUAUUCCGGGCAUCGCCACCAAGAUAUCUUCUUCAAUAAGGACAGCAAUAUUUUCUUUCCUUCGCCGGUGCCUACAGAAUCCACUACUUAUCCUAGUAAGCACAAACAAGGCAUUACAAAUUUCUCGAAGCCGCUCAACGAGCUAAAAACUCUACCUAGGAUAGUCGAUGGACUUCACGGUGAAAUGAGAAUUGCAGAUGGAGAAGUACCGAGGAAAGAAAUAAAAGCCAAAGAAGAUAGUGUAUCCGAGAAAAACGAUGAAGCGGCGUUAUCCUGGCACUUUACGGACAAGUUACCUGUGCCGACAAAGCAGCAUGAAGGUUCGCCUUCUGACAAUGUGCCGGCCGAACCAUCUAAUGCGGCUUCUCGGGUCUUUCAGACGGAGAGGAUCCUGAGGGAGCAAGUGGAGCCUCUCAUUCGGUUAGCAAAAUCGGAUGAUUUGAUUGGUUUUCAGCAACUUGGGCUUAAUGAAAACUACAUUAUGACUGAAGAAUCAACCACCGCUGGCAAAUCUGCUGAUCUUUCGCCUGGAGGGCACCUAAAUUCAAGUGAUAUGUUGUCUUCACCAGCUCAAGUGCCGGAGGAUGUGAUAUUGCAGAUUCCAAAGUCCAAAGAUUUUGGAGACGCCCAAUUGAAUCAGGGAGAACAAAUGUUUUCGCUGGAAGAAUCGGAAAGAUCACAUAAAUCUUUGCACAAGCUGAGAAGUCAUGGUUCUCAAGAAGAUGCGGCUAGUCAAGUCGAGAAGCGGAUAGACGGAGAGAGCUACCGAAACAGCUUUGGUUCUCAGAGGAAGAUUGAGAAAUCUGACAAAGAAAAUGGAGUUCAAACUACUGUCAGGAGUGUCGAACUAAAAUUUUCACCUGCAGGUGCCAAAAGUUGCAAUAGAAGUCAGGAAAGUCCGAGUUCUACGUCAUCACCGUCUACACCUUCGGGAAAUAGAACGGCUAAAAUGUGCGACAAAUUUUCACAGUGCGGUUCUCAAGAUCAAGGCUAUAGUCUAUUGAAAAUUAGCUUGACACGGUCGCUGGAAAAUGAUGGCAGUAGUUUGCUCGUUUUGAAUCGUUCGCACGAACUUAGGGAGGAUGUUAGGGAAGCUAACCAGGAGCAAGAGGUACUCACUCUUUUAUCUCCUUAAUUAAUUGCAUUUUGUGUGUCCACUUUCAUAUAUGUUUUUUGUCUACAGGAAUAUGAAGCUGAGAGAGUUGAAGAAAUCGGUUUGCCUGCAGUGGAUGCUAUUAGUCGAGAUCUGAAUAUAAGUAAUGUACAGGUAUGCUUAUUGGGGUUUAUGAUAGAGCUGCUUUUUUGUCAAAAUUUUCAAGUAAAUGAACCCAAACUUGCUUUCCUAACACAUUUGUUCUACAGUCAUGUUUGAAUGACUUUUCAAGUUUAUGAAAAUUGAGAAUUGGUUUGGCAAAGGAAUGAUUCCAACCCUCGAUUCCAUAAUAUUUCAGAAUAUUCAAACGCUUUCCAUUCAUUCAUUUGCAUAUUGCGAAAUUUGGUUUCUGAACGACUUUUACACUUACAAAAUCUACAUAAUAAACCUAUUUCAGCAACUAAGUACAAAAGGAUAUGUAAACAAAAGUUUAAGAACAUUUUAGCUCUCUUACACAAGGAAUUUUUCAACUAAGCACAAAAGGAUAUUCCACAACAUGCAGAUUAUAAAGAAUGAUGAUCUCGAAGAUCUUCGAGAGGUAGGUGCCGGUACGUUCGGAACCGUCUAUCAUGGGAAAUGGAGGGGUACAGAUGUGGCCAUUAAGCGGAUAAAGAACAGCUGUUUUCUGUACCACUCAUCUCAGACAGAUAAGCUGGUAAGUUUAUUUUCUGAGUCUUUGAAUUGAUUUUCUGUCGCAUUUUUUCUUCCCUUUUUUUUUUCAAUGCAUUGUAAUGAAUCGAUUUAUUUCAGAUCUUGGAAUUUUGGCGGGAAGCGGGCAUUCUCUCGAAGCUUCACCACCCAAAUGUCGUGGCCUUCUACGGAGUUGUGAAAGAUGGACCAGGCGGAAAAUUAGCUACUGUAACGGAAUUUAUGGUCAGCGGAUCCCUUAAGAAAGUUUUACUGCGCAGGGACAAGUAAAGUUCUCUCUAGUAUAUCAAUCGCCUUCACUAUUUCGCACUUAAAUCACCACUAAAUUUUUCUGUGUUGGAGCUCGCAGGUAUCUCGAUCGCCGUAAGAGGCUAAUGCUUGCUAUGGAUGCUGCUAUUGGAAUGGAAUACUUGCAUUCCAAGAAUAUCGUCCAUUUUGAUUUGAAAUGCGAUAACUUGCUCGUGAACCUUAAAGAUUCCUCGCGUCCAAUUUGUAAGGUUAAGUUACAUUUCAUAUCAACUUACAUCUUUGUCUUAUAGAACCUACUUUUCUCGGUAAAUAGUGCGAUAAAUACUAGGAAAAGGAAAUAAGCUCUGGCGAUGUUUGAUUCAGGUUGCUGAUUUUGGCUUGUCGAAGAUGAAGCAAACCACUAUGGUAUCCGGUGGUAUGAGGGGAACACUUCCCUGGAUGGCUCCGGAGUUGCUUACCAUCAACAGCAACAGGGUAUCUGACAAGGUAAUACAUAAAUCUUCUACGACGAUUAUUUCAUCACUUGGUUAGAGUGUUGCUACUGCGAUUCUUCUUCGCUGGAAUUUGUAUUCAGUAACGUCUAAAACCUCCGCGCAUUGCUAUUUCUUACCCAGCUAUAGGCCCUGCAUUUGAAAUUUUGUAUGCUUGCUAAAAUUUGAGUAACUGUUCUUUGAUUACAACUACAGGUUGAUGUGUACUCCUUCGGCGUCGUCAUGUGGGAAAUUCUCACUGGAGAGGAGCCGUACGGCGAUAUGCACUACGGAGCAGUCAUAGGUAUGCCGAUAAAUUAGCAUCUUUUUAUGAGAUCUCGUAACUACAAUUACCCGAAUCUAACAUUUCCGACAUUAUAGAAUUCUGAAGGUGACACUUCCUGUUACCAAAUGACCAGUCAAAUUUCAAAAGAAUACUUUCUUUUGCCGUUUGAUACUUGCGAAUUUAUAUGAUCGAUUUAUAUCGAAGACGACUUAUCAAAGAACUCACUUCCGAGCAGGGGGUAUAUUGAAUAACACAUUGAGGCCGAGCGUGCCGAGUUCGUGCGAUGUAGAAUGGAGGAAACUAAUGGAGCAGUGUUGGGCCGCGAACCCCGAUCAACGACCUUCGUUUACUCAGAUAGCGGCGCAGCUCCGUUCGAUGUUGGACGCUGUUCAAGCUUAGUGUUAACUCCACACUAUGCUAUCCGUGAAUGUGCGGCGCAGAUCCGUGUUUAAAGUUUGUACUGUUUGUUGUAUGCAGUAGUAGUAUUUGCUGUUAGAUCAGAGCUGAAUAUGCUUGUUGGAGGUUCUUUUCUCUCUCUUUUUCCCUCCUGUUUUUUUUUUUUUUUUAAUUUGCAUUAUUUUUUCUGCUUGUUGUUGUGAAUUUGUAAAUGUGAAAAAUGUGAUUAUGUAAAACUUGGUUUCCUGUAUAUGGUAUAAUUCCCAAAAAUGUUAGCCGAAAUCGAUGCAUGUUCUGAAUCAAAGAUGCUUCUUGAUCAUGUAUUAUAGCAAAUUAUUACUCCAACAAAAUAAGCUAGAUGAAAUUGUGCACCGUAAACUUUACCACAAAAUAAAAAAUAAAUAAAUAAUCACAACUGUACUUGGAGAACUUAAAUGAAACAAUUUUCGCUUGUUAUGAAUUUGGAUUUUUUUUUUUCUUUAAGCAGUAUUCAAAACAACAAUUCUGCGGAAGGUCAAAUGUUAUCAAAUGAUACGUAAAAUAAAGGAAAUUAAAGGCGUAGUGUAUCAAUGAGAAUAAACUUGCAUUGUAUGAUUAUAUACAUAAAUGGUAUAUAGCGGCAACAAUACUUAUUUUCUUUUUUGAGCAUCCUUUUAAUUUGGUUUUUUUUUUUUUUUUUUGAAUUUUUCUUUUCUUUAUAUUAACACCACACUGGUAAAUUAACAAAUGAUGUGGCUAAAUAAUAAUAAUAAUAAUAAUAAUUAGAAUUUUUUGUAAUUUUCGAAAUUAUUAUUAUAUUAUUAUUUUUAGAAUUUUUUUUUGUGAUUUUUUAGGAUUUUUUGUAUGGAAAAAAUUUCUAAAAAUUAAGAAUAUGAACAUGGAAGUAUUAAAUUAGAAUUAGAUUUAUUUAUUUUUAAUUUUUUUUUAAAGUUACGUGUUGUGAUUACAAUUAGAAUUAGAAUUUAAUUUAUUAUAAUUAGCUUACAAGCAAGUUUCUAAUUGCAUUGAAAUUGGCAAACCAAGUAGGUGCACCAACCUGUUACUAGCAAGAAAGAAGCCCCGACUUUUUUAUUUGGGCUAAAUUUGGUCUUUGGUCCAUAAAUUCUGAGAGCCGUAAUACUUUUUGGUCCUCAAAUUUGAGUUUGUUAUAAUUUAUAACUUAAAAUUUUUAAAUCAUCAAAAUCAAAUUUUACGCUAUAAUAAUUUAGUUAGCUAAAAAAUAUUAUAUUAUUGUCGUGACAUCUGAGUCAUUUAUAUCUCUUUAACUACCGUUAUAUUAUAUUAUUACCCUAUCGAUGAGACAUUAUUUAGUCAAUCGAAUCGACUUGUACUAUGCAACUUGAUUGUAAUAAUGUAAAAAAUUCAAACAAAAAAAUUAACCAGAAAUUACAGGAGCCUGUGUUCAGGAUUGGUCUAUGUGAAAAUGACGGGAGCUUGGAUUGAACCCAAAUGAACGAACCUAAGUUGAAUCUGGUCCCUUCUAGUCUCAAUUUGUGGGCCCAACCCAAUUUGUCUCCCUCACACAACCUCUCUCUCAUUGACUUUAAGGUUAAGAUUCGGUGCAUGCACUUAUAUAUAAUCUUAAUUUAUUAUCAUUAAUUUUUUUGUACACAAAGGUAGUAAUCCACCUUUUUUGUUUAUUCUUUUUAAAAAAUAAAUUUAACUAAAAAUACAAAACAAAAUGACUUCAAACUUAAAACUUCGGAUAUAUACAGCCAGUGGAUUAAGAUUUUAUUUAAAACACUUGUUAAUUAAUUAUGUACUUUUAGCUACAAGAUAAUUUUACGAGGAAAAUUAACCAAAAAACUUAUAUCAGCAUGUUAUUGUAGUAGAACAAUUAAAAACUUUUUGAUUACAAAAUUUCUAAUCAAAUAACUUUACCCCUCUGCGUCCUUCGAACUGAACCCGUCUUUAUAAAAGCCAGAGACUCGAAUCUUAAAUUUUUUCGAACACACAUGCAGGAAUAAUUUUCGGUACAAACCAACUUAAAAACUAAAAAAAACAUUAUUUGGUACUAAACUCUUUUUUCUUUUUUAUUCAAAUUAAUAUAUCGGUGAGCUUUCAAAGAAGUAGCACAAAUUCGUGUUAACUUGUGCAGGUGACAUUUCUAAUUUCUAAUAUUAUUAUUAUGUCACUAGCUUUGGCAUUUUCUAAGCACAAUUGGACAAAUUGGUAUGGUGGCGUUACAAGUGCAACAAGGGUUACGAGGAUUAAUAUAAAUUUUUAGGUAAAUUAAAGUUUAGACAAAAAAUUAUUUUUUAUUGUUUAUUUGUAUAAUUGUGGAAGUGAAGGUUUUUUUAAUUAUGUUGUUUGUUUAGGGUUCGUUUGGAAUUGCGGGGAGAUUGUGUUACAUGCGGUGAGAAACGACGAUCAGAAAAUAUCCUAUUUGUUUCCGCAUGUAAUAUUGCUCUUCGCAUAUUAUGGUUAGUCGAUUACGAUAUAUUUUCUACGGUCUCAUCGGAGAACCCAGAACCAUUUUUCUAUAUGCCUUUUUCCAACUCUAUUCUAUCUAAUAGCAUUAUACCAAACUAAUAAGCCUAAGUGAGGGAUUAAUUAAUAUUUUACUAUUAUUUUUUAUUUUUUUUUUCUCGGGUCAAAAUUAGUUAUAUUAUUUUGAAAAAAUUAAAUAAAAUUAUAAUGAUUCAAACACGAAGGUGACUAAAGUGCUUUAACUCUCUCCACUUUUCGUGGAACAAACACAUGCGACUAUGAUGUUGCACGAUUAUGUCAUUGACAUUUGGGAACCGCAUACGUGGCUCCACCACAUCCGUCCAUUUCACUGGGGUAAUUGAAAAAUGAUAAGAAACUAACCUAAGCUACAUAAGAAUUUAUCAGAUAUUUGUUGAUUUUUAAAAUGUGUGUAAAUUUAUACAUGAUUGCUAUUAAAUGUAGGAUUCCAAUGGGAGACUUAUUUUUUCGAAUAAGGUAUUGUGAGGGUAAUUUUUAAUGUAACACUCAGUUUUAUGAGCACAUAUGAUAAUAUUAUCCAUUCAAUAUUAAUUUCAUAUGUUGGAGUUGAAUAAUUUAAAAUUAUCGUCCGGAACAAUAAUGCUCAAACUUUAUGAAAAUAUUUGUUUAUGAUAAUAUAAAAAAAUAAAAAAAUAAAAAAAAUAAUUUUGAAGUUAUUGUGAUAUAAUGGAUUUUAACAAAUAAGUAAAAUUAUAGUACAAAUUUUAGUCAGUAUUUUUUUACAGCGACUGAUUUAGUUGGAAAUAUUUUAGGAUAAAAUAGAUAUAAAAACAUGCUCAAAAAUUUGUACUAUAAUUUUACUUAUUUGUUAAAAUCCAUUAUAUCACAAUAACUUCAAAAUUAUUUUUUUUAUUUUUUUAUUUUUUUAUAUUAUCAUNUAUAGUACAAAUUUUAGUCAGUAUUUUUUUACAGCGACUGAUUUAGUUGGAAAUAUUUUAGGAUAAAAUAGAUAUAAAAACAUGCUCAAAAAUUUAAAUUUAGUUUGUGAGGGCUGAGAGUUGAAAUACUUGAAAGGUGAAAGACUUUUUGGCAAUCGUGCAAUUUUAGUACAGUCCACCUAAGCAUGUAUAUCCAGAGAUGUUCUUAUCUCUUUCAUUUGAAGCUUCCAGAGAGAGAAUGAGAGAGAGAGAUUAGGAUCUUAAUAUUAUUAUAUUUUUUUGACUUUUUUUGAUGAAUUUUUAUAAAAAUUGAAAGUUAGAAAUUGAUUUUUUUUAUACGUUUUAGGAAUUGAUUUCGCUUGAUUUUGAUAAGAAAUUUUUUAAGCUACUCUAAAGUGUUGUGGUUGUUGUUCGGAUUAGGAGAGCAGUAACAGAUCACCAUGCUAUCCUGACUACCAUUCUGUUUCUCGAAUUUGCGAUAUAGGUGUAUUCCGUAUUAUCAAAAUUGAUGGACUAAUUUUUAUAUCCAUAUUAUAAUAUUUAGCGUAUGAAAUGAAUUACUGACAUAAUUGAGAUAAUAGUAUUAUUUUUACACCUAUCUAUAGAGUCUAUUGAGACAUACAUAUUAUAUGAUAUUGUUUUGGAGGCCAACAAAGAGUGAUAGAUAGUAUGGACUUAUAACCAUAUUUGAAACAUUAUGAUAAUAUUGUCAUAAUUUGUUUAAUCAUUGUAUUUGACUACAACUUAUAUAAUAUUUUGAGUUUAAUAGUGAUAUUACACUCCGUUAAGGUAGUGCCCGCGAGUGCCACUCCGGAGAUUAAGUUAUGAGAUAUUAUUAUAAUAUGUGCCAGACAUUAGUCUGUAUGAUAGCGGAUUACUAUAGGUGAGUGCUGGACACAAAGCGGCACAUGCUAAACUUGACUAUUGAGUCGGUCAUUAUAAUUGGAUAUUCUUGCAGUAUUUUAUUUAGUAUCUAAUCGAUGCAUGAAAUAUAUGAUCGAUUUACAGUUUUCAGUUAUGUUGUAGAGACAUGAUAAUAGUAGUUGCUUUCAGUAAUUAUUUAUAUUAGUAUUUGUUUAUUUAUAUUGCUUGGUUAUUUAUUAUUUUUACCUAUUAUGGAUCUAGUGGUGUAAACGUCAGUAUUGUCGACUGUACUCACUGAAAACUAUUGAUUAUAAUUCUUAUACCUUUUUAUUAAUAUUUUAGUUCAGAAUCUUCAAUAACAACGACUGAUGGAGAUAAGAGGAUCGCAGAUAGUUAGUAUCUUUUACCCUCUUUGUGUGUAUAACUGACCACCUAUUAGUGUAUAUAGCAAUAUAUGUAUAGUAUUUUGAGGUUUGGAGUGGUUAACGAUGUUAUAUUAUUUUAAGAACAGGUGUAGGGAUAAUUGUAUGUUUAUAAUAUUACCAUAAUACAUAAUUUUUAUUUUACUUGCAAUUGUUGGAUUUUAGUUUUUUUUUGACAAAUUUUUGUUGACGUUUCGCAUGUAUAAAAUAUAUUCUCAUGCAUACGGCCGGUCUAUUGAGGUAAUCUGAAUUUUUGCUGUAAUUCGGAACGUGAUAUUUAUACAAGUCUAUUUACCUAAAAUGUGAAAAAUAUUAUAGAGUUGGGAUUGAUGCAACUAGAAAAUCCAUAAACAUGAAAUUUUAUCAGUUGGUAAAUAAAAGAUACAGUUUUAAUUUUUUUAAAUUUAAAUUAUCGAUAUGAUUUUGUUUAUUAGAUAUGUAUAAACAAACUCAUAUAAUUAAUAACAAUUUAAUGCAAUUUCGACAAAAUACUGCUACAGCUUCCUAAAUUAGUAAUUUGUUUAUAUAUACUUUUUAAAAUAUUAUAUAAAUUUAUUAACACAUCCAUAAUAUUUUGAUAAAUAUUUCACCAUAUAUAUAUAUAUAUUUUAUAUAUAUUAUUAAGGAGUAACACUUUCCCGUGGUUCACACGCGCUCCUCCUGCAGAUGCCGUGUGGGACAAUUCAUGCAUGGGUACAUUGGCCACGCAUGUAUCUAAUAAUGGAUAAAUAAUAAAUAAAUAAAUAAAUAAAAGAUCUCAAAAUGUACCCGAGAAUAUUCCCCAAGUGGUAAUUUAGUUAGCGAGCAAUUUAAUUAAAUUUGAUGAUAGUAACACCGCCUAUUAAAAUUAUAUUUAGACAUUGUAUAUUUAUUAGUAUUAAAAUUGCAAUAACAAAAAUUUAUAUUAUUAUAAGUGGUAAAUUUUUUAAUUUAUUUUAUUAUGCUUUAGCGUAAUUUAAUACCUGAAAUACUAAACAUCAAGUUUUACCAUCUACGUCAAGAAUAAUUUUAGAUUAUUAUAUUUAGCUAUUCUAUAAUUUCUAGUGUGUUUUUAAAUAUGAUUUUCAUAGGUUAAAUUCCACAAUUUAACCCAAAUGUAAUUUAAAAAAUUCUCAAAAUUGUAGUGUGGCCCUCGCACAGGACAGCACCAUCCCCUGCUUUCCUUGUGAACUUCCUCUCUCCCACACGCACCAAAACCCCAUCCCUCUCUCUCUCUCCUACAUAUACCAAAUCCCCCCCACCCCACCACCACACUCACCAACCCCAAUCACACCAAAAAACACGAAAACUCUCUCUGUAAUCUCUCCCUCAGAUCAAAUCACCUGGAAAAAGAUCCAAUUUUGGCGAGAUGUGUGGCGGCGCGAUCAUCUCCGGCGACAUCCCCACCACGGCGGCGGAGCUGCUGUGGCCCGGUCUCAAGAAUAAGUCCAAGAAUAAGUACAAGAAUAAGAAGAAUAAGCAGAGGAGCAGUAAAUUGGUUGAGAUCGAGGAGGAGGAGGAGGAGGAGGAGGAGGAGGAGGACUUCGAGGCGGAUUUCGAGGAGUUCGAGGACGAAUCGGAGGAGGUGGAGGAAGCGGAGGAGAUCGAGUUCAAGCCCUUCGCCUCCGUAGCGCCGCCGCUUAAACGAGGUAAAGUUUUCGCUUUUAAUGUGGUUUCGGGGGCCAAAGUUUUGAUUUUUAUUUGGUUUUUCCCCCCCUUUUUUUUUUGCCUUUUUUCUCGAUCUUCUGUUGAUUGUUAUUUUUAUUGUGAUCUCGGAUGAGUCGUUUCGGUUGUGAGAUGGGUUUUGGCUUGUUUAUCUGUUUGUUUGUUUGAGAUUGUUGAUGCUUUGUUUUGGAUUAGUAGAGAGGAAGAGAUUAGAAGGGGAAAAAGAAAUUAAUUUUAUCUUAUAUAUUGGAGAAAAAGAGAGAAAAAUGGUAGUUUUUUGAAAUAAUAGAAGUGAUUGUUUUACUCCUCCUUUUAUUCUCUGCCCUUUUGUCCCCAAAUUUAAUCAUUUGAGAUCAGAGUUAAUACACAGUUUAUUAAUGCUUAAUCUAGUUGAUUCAUUGGGUGCCAUCAGAUUGGAAAAGCCUACUUUUUGCUCAAUUAAUUCAGUAAAAGAGAUCUGUAGUUCAUUUUUUAGGAAAAAAGUAAAAAAAAAAAAAAAAAAAAAAAGUUUGUUAAUUGAUGUGGAAGAGAUCUAUUUGAAUUUUUGAUUGGUACGAAAUAGCUCCUAAAAGUUGGAAUUUUGCCCAAAUUUUAGAAAUUACUCAUCUGGUUCAAAGAUCACUUUUUUUCCCUCUUCAACUUUAACCCUUAUUUUUUAUCAAAUUGUAGAGUGCUCUACCACCUUGAGAUCUGCGGAUUUCGAUGGACAUUCGGUUAGAAUAGCCAGCAGGAAGAGGAAGAAUCAGUACCGGGGAAUUCGCCAGCGCCCGUGGGGCAAAUGGGCUGCUGAGAUUCGAGAUCCUCGCAAAGGGGUGCGAGUAUGGCUCGGCACCUUCAACACUGCUGAAGAGGCUGCUAGAGCUUACGACGUCGAAGCCCGUCGGAUCCGCGGCAAGAAAGCCAAGGUCAACUUCCCAGAAUCCGGUUCCAGUGCCCAAAAGCGCCACCAGAAGCAAAAGCCGAUUCCUCCGUCGGUUCCCAAACCAAACUCGACAGAAAAUUUGAACUUCACUGGUUCCUUCGGCUCUCUCAAUUACGCAGAUGGCAAUUUUGUCUCUGAUUACCGGGGGAUUGUCGAAGAAAAGCAGCUGAAAACGCCACAAACCGACCCAACCUGCUUUCGAGCAACAAAUCACUUUUCUGAUCAAGGAAGCAACUCUUUCGAUUGCUCGGACUUCGCUUGGGAACCUGAGAUUAAGUACCCGGAGACAACGUCGCUUCUUACUCCCUCCGUAAAUAACAGCGAUGAGACCCAAUUUGUCGAACACGGUAGUAACCCUCUAAAGAAAUUGAAAGGUGAUUCCGGAGAAGCUGUGGCAGUGGAGGAGAACAAAGAAGUAAAACUCGUGGACGAGUUAGACUUCGAGCCGUAUUUGAAAUUCUUGCAGUUCCCGGAUAUUGAAGAGAGCUCGUACGAAACUAUCGACGGCCUUUUCAAUGGCGAUGCGGCGCAAGACGGGGUGAGCCUUGUCGACCUUUGGAGCUUCGAUGACCUCCCCAUGGAGGGUAGUGUCUAUUGAGAAAUGUUAAGCCCUGGAUGCUGGGUUGUUUCUGUAAAUACAGCGAAUAAGUAAGCAAGCGUUUCCGUAAGUUGAUCGCGUAAACAUGAUUUCUGUUGCUCUAUCUUUUGUUGAAAAUGAGAUCUUUCUUUCAAUAUUUUUUAUUUUUAUUUUUCCAGGAAUUGAUAUUGGAGGAUGUGGAGUGCCAAGAACUAUUCAUGAGGCUUUAGUAAAUUAGGUUGUGGUGUCUGUUUAUGAUUUAUAAAUGUGCUCGAAGCACAAUUGCUUAAGAGUUGUAUUGUGCUCCUGCUAUGUGUUUUUGUUUCUGGUUAUUGAUCUCGAAGAUCUUCUAUGUUGUUGAACAUUCUCUCGCAUUUAGCUGUGUUUCUUUGCUAUUGAAGAUGCUUUUAACUUCAAAUUCUUGUUAGUUUCUAACUAGUUUUUAUUCUUUGUGGACUGCAUGGAUCUUGAGUAAUGAAAUAUGCCCAGAGUUGAUUUUUCACUAGGGGUGUAAUUCUUUAAUAAAUGCUUUUAGCAGUGGAAAAAUAAACAGUAUACAGUUAAUAACUAGUAGUCCCUCUUCUAAAAUAUUAAGACUUCUAAAAUAUUUUUUUGAGAGAAAGGUAGCGCGCUACCCGCUUCAGUCAGAAAGUAAGUGAAUUAAGCUACAUGGGUGAGGCAACAAGGCCUCGACGAGGGACGGACGAAAAAAAGAAAAAAAAAAAAGUUCGAUCGAUCACUUCUUUGGACUAAGUUUCCUCCACAGGUCCGUCAACUGCUUAAUCUUAUAAAUACAGGCUAUUGGGUUGUUCUGGGUCGCCGUGAAGAUCGCUCUGUUUCUAGAAUCCCAAGAAACCCACCAGCAGGCUAUCAGGCCUAUGAGACUGGUUGAGGUCGAUUGUGAUCUCGUACAUCCUGCCCAUCUAUCCCACACUUGACGCACUUCCUCUCCCAGAUCUCCUAGCUGAAUAUUCUCCUGGGUCGUCGCCAUUAGGAAUCUGGUAACUACGCAUUGUGUGAAUAGGUGGUCGACUGUUUUCUCUUCCAGUCCACACAGCAUGCAUUUCGUGUUGCCGACCCAUCCCCUCUUAACCAAAUUGUCAGCAGUAAGCACUCUCUUCUUAAGGACAAGCCAACAGAACACUUUCACUUUUAAAGGCAGGCGUAAAGACCAGAUCUUGCUCGAACGGGCAUCCCUCAUGCCUCCGUCGCCCAAAGUUGAAUAAGUUGACUUCACCGUAAAACAUCCGUCGGUGCUCCAACGCCAAUGUACACUGUCCUGCCCCUGACUAAUUGAAACAUUGGAAAUUCUGCCCUUAAGAGCAGUAAUGUCAGGGCAAACACUAGGAUUAACAGAAGUGUCACCACCAAGAAUCGUUUCCCAGCACCAACCGUUGCUAUUCAACCCGUCACGGAUUUUCAGGUUUUUACCAGGUGAUAAGUGAAACAAUUCAGGGAACGACGAACGUAGCGUUGUUUCCCCACACCAACGGUCCUCCCAAAAGUCGAUGUGUCGUCCGUUACCCAGCUUAUAAAAAGCUCCCCAUUUAAAAAUUUCCUUCAUACUUAGUACACCCUUCCACCAAUACGAAGGUGGUCUAAACGAUCGUCCCUCCUUCAACGGUCUUCUUCUACGAUAGAACAAUUCGUGGAUAAGAUUAUUCCACUGUAACAGGGGAGCAGUUAGAAAUUUCCACCACCACUUAACAAGUAGGGCUUGGUUCAUCGUAGUAAUGUCGAGAAUGCCUAGUCCGCUUUCCUUCUUGUUACGGCAAACAUUCUGCCAUGAAACCAGACAUCUUAUUCCUGGGUUAGACAACUGUCCUGUCCAGAAAAAAUCUCUGCGUACAGUCUCUAUACGCUUGAUUACCCAUUUAGGGGUCGUAAAGACCGAGAGAUAGUAUAGGGGUAGAUUGGAGAGUACUGCUUUUACAAGGAUAAGUCUACCCCCGCUUGAAAGAAGUUUACCCUGCCACCCGUCGAUUCUACUUUGAAUUUUACAGAUGAUCCCCCUCUAGUCCUCCUUGGAAGGUGGUUUGAUCGACAAGGGCAACCCCAGAUACUUAGUGGGUAGAGUACCCACUCUACAUCCGAGUAAAUGCGCAAUCCAACUGUCCUUUCCCUGUGUGUGACCAGUAUAGUAGACUUCCGAUUUCUCUCUAUUAAUUCUCAAUCCAGAUGCCCAUUCGAAGAGUUGCCAAAUGAAUUUUAGGUUUCUCAAACAUCUUUUCUUGGCUUUACAGAAGAAGAAGGUAUCGUCUGCAAAUUGAAUGAGGGUAGUUCUGGAUGUCUCAGUGGGACCGAUGCCUACAAUGAGAUUGUUACGAAUAGCCUCAUUCGUCAGUCUGGCAAGACAUUCCGCGACUAGUAAGAAAAGAAAAGGGGAGAGCGGAUCCCCUUGUCGUAUGCCCCUCUUCGUUUUAAUCCAAUUGGUGACGUCAUCGUUAAUCAGGACUGCAACCUUGGCGUUGCAGACACAUAGUUUGAUCCAAUUACACCACUUUUCGUCGAAGUCCCACCAGUGUAAACAGCUAAACAGGAAAGGCCAAUAAAUUCUGUCGUAAGCCUUUUCGAAAUCCACCUUUACCCCGACCCCCUCAUCCCCCGUCCUACUUGCCCACCCUAAAAGCUCUCUAACGGUUACAAAAGUAUCAGUGAUGUUUCUCCCCUUCAGAAAAGCCGAUUGGGAGGGGGAUAUUAUGUCGCUCAAAACCUGUUCCAAUCGAUUGGCUAUAACCUUAGAACGGAAACAAAGUGGUCUUCGUGAUUGUUAUUAUGGUUUAAGGUUAAUUUGAUUAUCAUCGCAAAGCCAAAAAAAAGCUGUUCUAAUCUUCUGUAACAUUUUGGUUGUGCUGCACAUGUUUAGGUUGUGCUUCUUAUCUUUUCCAUUUCCUUGCUCUUAAAUCUUUUUUUUUCUCCCAUGUUCUUGUUCUUGGUCAAGUAAAAUACCUUUGAAAGUGCACACUUUUUCUUUCAUUUUUUUAAAGAAAAAAUAGAACGUAAAAGAAAACGUUUGCAUUAAGACCCGGCCCUAGUGAAACAACCUCUACUAUCAUGUUUCACCAAACUGGCACUAGCUCACAAUUUGAAUUGACCUUCGCCUAACCUUGUGAGCUUGUUUUGACUUUAUCCCUAGUAAUAAUACUGAACAAAAAUUGAAUUGGUGCUCGAAUCCUGAAGCAACGUGCACGAAAAUUACACCUCCUCACUGUAGGAAACCUGCUAGAAUCUUUUAAAGCACUACAAGAAUGAUAAUUUGUGUGUCGAUUAAUACUUCAUGCUGGAAAAACAUGCCACACGUAAGCUUUUACUCUGAAACAGCAAAUAAAGAAAAAAGCUACCUUUAAAAAGUUGAAAUGAUCUCAAUAUUCCCUAAUUUUCCAUUUUCUUUGCAUCUUCGCGAUUGUUCGACAAGACGCGGUUUUACAAUUCGAUUUGAAUGGGCAAAUGAGAAAUAGUUAGGUAGACCAAAUCUACUGUACCAUCCGCAGACAAGUAACCAGUUAGGUAGUUUCUGAUUCGAGAAAAAGCUAUUCAGAGGGUCCUGGCGAAAAAUGUGAGACAGGUUACCAAAACAGCGACUGAAUGAAUAUGUUCAAAUAUUUACAAUUUAUUCCACAAUCAAACCGUUCAAACACAUCGACCGCAUGAAGAUUAUUCUGUGCAAGCCUACUGGAUAUUUACAUGAUUUAUUUCAGAAUACCAAUGAAUGCGACUAACUAGGGGGAUGAUAUGGAAAAGACGAUAAAAGAAGAAUGAUAUGUACAAAAGAAAAAGGACGUAAGCUAACAUCCCAUUUUUGAGUAUAGCUCGUGGAGAGCUGUGUAUAAUGGUGCAGCAGCUCGGGGCCUCUCCACCUGCCCAAAGAGGAUGUCGUGGGUGGUCAAAUAAGGAUCACCGUAGAAGCUGAGAUUAGUCUCGGUCCUAGUCGCAACAACGUUCCCUUCCAAUGAAACCCCAACAAAAGCCCCUGUUUCGAAAAACUCUCAUCAGAACAACAUAGUUUGUAAAAUAUACUAAUAACCAGUUCUUCGUAUAAAUGGAGCUUAUAAGUUGUCAAAAGGAAAAAAAGAUAGCUAAAAGUUUGGUACCAAGUCAUUUGACCAAGACUUGUCUAAAAAAAGCUGAUUAUAGAAAUCAUAGCAAUUUUUUUGCUAGUAACACCACUAUUACCAAGAAAAAAACAAAUGAAACUAUUACGAGUUCGCCUUGCAGAUAAGAUUUCCAUGUUACCCAGUUCUAUACUAAAAGACACAAGGCGGACUUUGGUGAACAUUUUUUUGCUAAAAAUUUCCUAGAUCUUAGGAAAUAUUCAGAACAGCAAAAGUUGUGGGAUUAAGCUAGGGCUACAAGGAUACAUAUUUCCACCAUGAAAGCACUCUCUACCUUUGCUGCAACUGUAAGUAUAACACAUUCCGGAACCUUUGUUGCCAGCUCGAAGAUCUGCCUCAAGAGCUCUUCCAACAGGUCCUGCCGCAAUAUUGACACCAGCCCCAAGAGAAACAUGCAUGGUACUACUAAAUGCCUUAACAGCUUUUUGGCCAUGGAGCACAAUGAUGAAGUCCACAAGUUCUCCUCCAAACUGGAAGGAACGACAAAAGGAAACCAAUUUACAUCAUAGGAUACUUCUAUAAUCUUAAACAGACAAAUCCCAUACAACAGAGGUAUCGAAGCCUGGAUCUGCAUCAUAAUACUUAAUACUGAAAAUAUUAAGAAGUCAUUGGUUUUUCUUUUUUGCAGACAAAGCAUCAAUUUUCCACGUCAAAAUUCAAAAUAUUUCACUCAGAUUCUUUGCAUCUCUUACCAUCAAAUGAGAGAGAGAGAGAGAGAGAGAGAUGCAAACAAAUAAAUGGACAGAUUAGAGAUUAGAUUUUUCAUAGGUGCCUUCAUAAGUUCGUCUAUGCGAUUAAGACAAUCUUGUUCUACUAUAAUUAUAGCCCAUUUUGGAUUUAUUUUAUGCCACAUUUCUUCAUUACGUUCCAACCACCUUUUAUCUGAUCAACCAUGCAGAUCUCAGACUACACACAACCAUUGGGGGCAGAUUUUUAUACUAUAAUUGCAUCAAUUGUUUUAGAUUUUAAAUUGGAUUAAUAAGAAGCAACAAUAAAGAACGGAAUAAAACAAUUUAAUGGAAUGCUUACCUGCAGUCCCCAUCCUAGUCCAACAGAUAAUAUUGCAGAUGGAGCAGACCAUGAUCCAUCAGACCUCCUAGAAACCACUAGACCAGUACCAACUUUGUACGUGACAAGUGCACCAGCCUUAGCAACUGUUAGUAUGGCAAGCCCAUUUGCUCCUUUAAGCACUGCAGAGGGAAUAGAAUUCUCAGGGUUUAAUCUACCAACCUGCAUAUUGGAAACAAUUUUUUUUUUUUUGAGUAACAUGGAUGAAAAGCUAAAAAUUAGAAACUCGAGAAAAAAAAAAAAAAAAUCCUACCUGGCAAUAACUUCUCAAAGUAUUUGCGGACUUAUAUAUCUCAUAUUCCAUCGAUAAGCCAAUAGGCAAAUUCAACCACCCUCUAGUGCAUGUCCAAUCCGUAACAUCAUGCUUUGCUGACUGUGUGGCAUUACUUAUGUAGCUAAUCAAUAUGCCCUGCAGCGGAUCGAGCCUCUCAUAGCAAGCAUCACAAACUCUUUGUGGGUCCCGCACUCUGAACUUUAUAGGCAGCAAACAUCUUCCCCGCGAGCAAUCUUUGCAGAAAAGCCCCCCACAAAACCGACAAUGAUGCCUUCCACGAGUGAGAGCUGUGAAAGAGGAAUUGCAUUGCAUGCAAACAGUAGAAUAACUAUCUGGCAACCAUUCCGGAGGUUCUGCUAGAAGUACCUCCCUGUAAGUACUAUAAUUCAAAGCUUCCGCUUCAAGGAGAGGCGGUGCACUUGGUAAACAAACUGAUGGGUGUAUGAAAGUAUCCCCAUCCUUUUCAGACCUAAGAAAUGAUAUAUCAGAGCUACAGCUUCGCUGUGGUGGAUCACUGUUACGCGCUCGGCUUUGGCCAGUGAGAAUGGCAACUAACCCAGUAAAUACAUUUUUCAAAUUCACUUCAGGAUUAGCAUGGGGUUUUGAAAAGAUAGUAGGAUCCUCACUUGAAUCAUAAACCUCGUCCAGAAGAUCCGAUUCCAUUGUGGGGGGGUAAAGAUAUUCCGGUUGUAAAGAUUUUGAACGUGAUGAAGACUUUGGAUUGCCACUAGGAAGAUCAGAACUGAAGGUCUUAUCCUUUUGACUAAAAUUAUCAAGUUUUAAAAGGGAAGAAAAUGAAAUCAUUCCUUCAUGGUUAGCCAUGAAUUCAUUCAGAACUAACGACUUAUCGAAGCACAGAGCUUCACCUGCAGGUCAUAACAAAAAAAAAAUAUCAGGUUAUAGAGCUCCUCUUGACUCUAUAAAAUCACAGCAGCCAGCAAUUUUGAGAGGAAAAUGAUAAUAAUAAUAAUAAUAAUAAUUUGCAGGACGCAAUGAAGGCAAACCGACUAGAAUUAGCAAUGUAACUAUUUCACUCAUCUAGUCCACCAGAAGCAGUUAUCAUAAUGUGUUUUUGGAACAAAGAAAACAGAAAAUUUUCAACUACAGUGUAAAACAACUAUUGACAAUAUAUUAAGAAAUUCUUACUGACAAUCAUCUAAGAUAAGAAUUUGUACACACAAUUUACUUCUGCGAAACAAACUAAUGAAAUUGUAUAUCUCAAAUUGCUAUAACAAUUUGUGGCUUUUUUUUUUUUCGAAGGUCGGAUUUUCAUAUUUCUGUUCUCAAACCUUCGUUUAUUAGACAGUAUGAGCGAAUGCAUAUGCACAUAAUGGUACCAAAUCCUGAAUGUUGCUCUAUGAUUAAAGCUAGGUGAAAUUGAAGACAUCUUGGAAUAUAGUUUCGAGUGAAAUUUGGAUCAGAUUCAGUUUAAUCUAUUAUGUACUACUUUAAAUUCAAUUCAAGUCUAUUGGGUCGCUUCAUGAUUGAUUUAUACAACUCCACUAUCCAAUUUUGAUGCAAGAGUGCUCAAAUCCCCAAAAUUGGGAUUACACUAAGAAAUAUAAGAUGAAAUGAAUAGUGUUGCCUCCAUAAGAAGCCCUAGCCGACCCCUUUGGUAGCGCAAUAGCUUGUGAUGGAUCAUGAUGGAUUAACCAAAAAUUAGGGUUUGCUAAUUCGCUAUUCAGAUAGAUACAAUACAUCUACAAACCACAAAAACAACAGCGAACUCAAAUCACCAAGUUAUCCUACCCAAAUCAAUCGAAGAUCCCUAAUAACCCUAAAAUCAUCACAAACCCCACCAAAAUGCAACCAAAAACAAAAGGAGAAAAAGGAAAUCGGAAACAAUUUCAAGUGAUUAAGAAUCGCAAAGGAAUAGGUCGAUCCUCACCUGGGGAUUCGAUUGCUCGAACGAGUUGGAUCGAUCGUGGGGGAUGAGAUAGAGAGGGGGAUUCGAUUGUUUCGCGUGAAAGGAGGCGAGAGGGAAACGAAAUAUCGAGGACGACACGGCAAGUCGGCAACGCUAUAAAAGGUUUCUUUUUUAAAAAAAAAAAAAAAAAAUUAUUUAUUACAUAAAUAACGAUAUAUAUAAAUAUAUUUAUAAAAUUAAUAUUAAAGAAUUUGAAGGUAAAAUCCAUACUUGUCCUGGUAAGUGGUCAUGCUGGGCCAUAAAUCAAAUCACAAUUUUAUAGUUCAAAUAAGAACAAAAAAAAAAAAAAAAAAAAAUCUUUCUCCAUGUCAAUCUCUUGAAUGAAAUGUAGGGCAUGCUGGUAUGGCAUGGCCCUCGUGAUCGAUUUGGUUCAAGAUUUAUAAUAUUUCAAUAAUUUUCUAUAUUUUCUGUAACAACUCAAUCCGCUAGCAACAAUAAUUUGUUGGGGCGAAACCAACAGCCCAAAAUAUUUAAGCUCAGUUAUUAUUACUAGCGUGUAGGUUUUAUAUAUUCUAAUCAUGACUAUGAGGUGUUACAUUUUCAAUUGAAAAUAUUUAAAUUUUUGUCAUCCAACUUAAAUUAGGUAGUUGUUAGUUGUAAAAGGCGCCAGUGAAGUAUUAGAAUUACUGUAGAUUUUUAGAUGGCAGAUAUACUAAAUUAUCACGAAGUAAUAGACAUUUUUAUUAUGAGAAUUAUUAGCAGAUCAUUAAUGAAAAUAUAGUUGUUCUUAACAACCGCCCACUCAAGUGACUUUGACAGUAACAUAUUUAUCAUUCCUAAUAUAAAACAUAAGACAUUUAAAGUUGGUGGGAUUUCACUUUACUUUAGAUGUGACCUGAAAGGAGAUUUGAGGAUAUAUAUCUUAAUUUUGUUUCAUAAUGUUUUGUUUUUAAAGACAUUUAUAUAAGCUACCACACACACCUCUCCUCUCGCUUCCUGUGGGAUUUAAAUUAAAGGUAAUUACUGUAAGUGAUGGUAAAUUUUAUCUUCCAUAAUUUAUUCUGUUAUUUGAAGAAAACCUGCUUUUUUGAUAAGUUUACGAUUUUCGCUUCAAGUCUCUUAACAGAUUUAUAGCAGGAUUAAACUGUUUAUAUCAAAACAUUUUUUUUCCUCUAAAAACUAAGGAAAAAAAAUAAAAGAUUUGGAUGUCCUUUUGUUGUAAAGGAUGGUUAAAAUUGAAGUUUUAUGUCUUAAUAAUAGAAACCUCAAUUAAGAGCUUUUACUUCUGCUGCAGCGAAGAACAGUUUACGAAGUGAAGCUUUUGGAAAGGGCAAAGCUAAUCCAAAUCUAAUCUGAUCAAAAGAUAAACCAUCUAUAUCUCUACAGAAUAUAGCAAUCUUUUUUUCUUCAUUUUUUUUAUCUUUUGUUGAAAGAAGGAGAGAGUAAGUUAUAAAUCAAGAUGUUCUUUUUUUGGUUGCAUGAGCUCUACUUAAAGCAAACAUGUAAAUAUAUAAAUGAGCUUCAGGAAUGAAAAGGGAGCAAAUAUUUUUUAUUAAACAAACUGAAAUGAAGCCUUAUCCAUAGCAUUCCAUUGGAAAACACCACACACACAGCAAUUCCCAAACCUACUACAACUACAAUCCAUCAAUGACCCUAAACUACCCACAGGGCAAAGCCAUUGUCUCCCAGAUCUCUUCCCAUUCUUUAAAAAAAAAAAAAACAAAAUAAAAAAAAACAAAAUAAAAACGAACACGACCGACCGAUCCUUUUCUCGAUUCCGCCCAAUCGAUUCCGCCCAAAUCACUUGGUCCCGUUUACCGCAGCCUCUCCAUCGACGGCCAGAGGAACGGACUUGGCCUGCAUUUAGACACAACCAAGUUUCUAAGUUUCACGAAACGAUAUCGCGUUUGUUAAAGCACCUGAGUAACGAAAAGAAAAGCGCUACCACUCACCAGAUUACGAUACUUGAGGGCGUAGAACAUCUCGAGGUAGCGCUUCGUCUCGCGCCUGUCCAGGUUGGAGACAUACUUCCAGAACCCAUAAACACCGGAGAGAGUCAUCAGCCUCUCCGAGUAAAGCUGCCAUGUGUACCUACACGAAAUUUAUAUUAAGAUAACAGCACCACUAUCACUGAAUAACUAAAAUUCUCGUCGGCAUGACAUCGAAAGUGCUUUCGCAAAAAGCGCUUACUUCUCUUCGAUCCGCUUAAGACCUCCGUCAGAUAUCUUGCUCCAGUGGGUCGGAUCCUCCUUGCACUUUUCGAAGAAGUCCACAAGCAGCGCAGAAGCCUUGUCGCCUUGGUACGGAUCGAUGUGGAAGCCCGAGACGCCGUGAACUAUGAUCUCGGCUGGGCCGCCGUACGCAGUCGCGAAUGUGGGGAGUCCGCAUGUCAUGGACUCGACAACGGUGAGCCCAAAGGCUUCAUAGAAUGCAGGCUGAAACACAAGCAAAAUUCAUAGAAUAGACUUCAGAAGAGAAACGAAAGGCGCGUUUAAAUACAUCUACACCUUCAGAACUAACUACUUAUAUAUCCCUGCAAAAGGGAGGAUAAAAGGGAGUUUAAUGUAGUAAGAAAUGAACUAUACCUGCACAAAAGCACCCUUAGUAUCGCAAAUGUAACGGUAGAGCUCGCCAUUGCGAACCCGGUUCAUCUGAGCGGAGAUCCACCGAAUGUGGCCAUCCAAUUUAUACUCUUCAAUUAAGUUGUACAUCUUCUUGAACUCUGCUUGCUCCUCUUUGUCCUUCGACUCUUUCCCGUGGUCACCACACACCACCACGAGGUUAACCAGCUCCUGCAGACGCGGGUUGCGGCCGUAAAGCUCAACCAAUCCCGUCAAGUUCUUGACCCGGUCGAGUCUAGCCAUCGAGAAUAUAAUGGGCUUGGUUUUGUCCUUCAAUGCAAAUUUGUGCUCUGCAUUGUCGACUGGAUUGUACAGUAAUUCCUCAAUCUCUGGGUGAAGGGAGGUGAGUCUUUUGCUCGUCUCGGUGUACGGGAAAUAGAUCGACAUAUCAGCCCCAGGAGAAACGAUGUUGAAUUUCGGAUCGAACACGUCAAUUCCGUGAACAACCCGGUAUAGACCGGGCAUAGUGAAUGCGAUGUGAGACUCGUAUUGACCCACAGUGUCCUUGCUGAAUUAUUAAAAAAGAUAGUUGUAAUAUUUUAGCCAAUUAAUUAGUAAAAAGAUCAGAAAAUAUGCAGUAAAUUUCUCGUGGAAUCAAUAAUACCUUCCGGCGAUUUCCUGGAAAGUGCUAGUGAUGAUGAAGUCAGCAUGGUUCAUCGCGAUUAAAUCGGCAGUGAACUGGCAUGAGAAGUGGUACUGGUUCUCAAAAUUUUUCCAGUAGAUGUCUGAGUUUGGAUACUUGGUUUUCUCCAGUGCAUGGGCAAUGGUGCACUGCAUGACAAAAAAUAGAAAUUAAGAUUACCAAAGCUCAAAGACGGUGUCGCUAGCGAACAGGAAUCAAACCUGCGUAACACCCAAUUUAUGUGCGAGCAAAGAAGCAACGAGAUUCCCAUCACUGUAGUUUCCAAUGAUCAGAUCAGGUUUAGCCUGCAAUUCUCCGGCUAGCUCGUUCGCAACAUCCUAUAAUGAAGAGUUAAUAAAAGAAUUUAGACUAAUUCACUAAAACAAAAUGUUAAAUUAAUAGUAAUGUAGCAUGCAAGUAGAUAUAAGGAGGAGAGAAUCACCUCAGUGUAGGUCUCCAGGUAGGGCCACACUUCGAAACGAGAGAUCCAUUUUCGGAUGAUCCCGUGCUCCCCUCUAAACGGAACACGAAGGAUGUGGGUGUGCUCAGUUCCAAGGACCUUCUCAAGACGCUGCCCGCAGGUGGUGCCGACGGCAUCAGGGAGUAAUCUGGUAACCUGUGAAUGCCCAAAUUGUAGUCUUAGACGGACCCAAUUAUAAGAAGUUCUACUUUACGACCUAAACCUUUCAUUGCUUUUGAUUUGAGAAAAUUCCAUCAAGUUACAUUGAAACUGAAAAGGUUUUUAUCAAAUUGAAGAAUUUCUGUUAAGUGACGGAAUAUUCUGGGUAGGUUUCAAAUUCGGCGACAGUUUAUGUAGGAAAGGUCUACACACUCUUACCAUAUGAAUCAAAAUAAUAAAAGCGCGUCAACUUGAGAUCACUGCAAACUUACAAUGAGAAUUCGAGGGGUAAUAUCAAGACCUUGCUGCUUGAUUCUAAGCAGCAUCUCGUGCUCCAGAGCACGGACUUGAUCCAAAAUAUAAACAACCUGACCACCGGUGUCGGGAUAGCCCAAGACAUUAGCUUGGGCGAAGUAGCCGUGCGGAGAGAGGAUCACAACAUUGAAAACCAUAGGGAUAAUCCCGAGGAAAUUCUCCAAUGUGCACGGGUCAGGUGCCUCGAGGAGAUCUAGGAGGAGGUGAAUGUUCUCGUGGGCACGCUGGGCCGUAUCACCCCACCCCUUCUCCAAGCCGAGCUCUUGAAAUCUACAUGUUAGAAAAAAAGAGUUGUUGAGUAAUUACAGUAAUCUCAAGCAGCUAUAUAAUGAGGGGAAAUAGACGUAGAACAAACUACCUGUGGUGGAAUUCGGCGUACGGAGUGUCCGAGGGGAUACUCAACAGGUACUCCUCCGCUUUCCUCAGCGAAGCUUGGAGAGCACUGAGGCUGCGGAUUCUAUCGUUAAGCAUCAUAGUCUACACGGAUCAUUAAGGAACGAAUGGUCAUACUUCGAGUCCUCGAAAGCAACACGUUUAAGAAGAGCCGAGAAACUUACCAUCCCCUUGUAGUUGUGUUGCCGAAGGAAAUUGAGCAGGGGGUACAUGCUCUCCUUGUCAUGGAACAGCUUCGAGGAAAGGUGCCUAUUGAGGAACUGCACCCCGUUGCCGAUCGACUUCGACAGCGACGGACGAGGGAAAGAAGCAUUGAACGGCUCGAAGUCCAACUCGAGUACGAAGUUGUUUUGAGUGCUGAGCACAAAAUCAGAUGUAAUAUUUGAAAUCGAACCACGCCGAUCUUAACAAAAGGAGCAACGAAAGAUUAUGGUCUUUUUGGUAUAAAUAGAUCUAAUACCUGUCUUCCACAAGCUGCUCCUUGAACUGCAAGUACUCGGGCACAGUCAGCUCUUCAACGGCGAGCUCGCUCACGUUCACCCUCACAUAUUGCCAAACUCCGGGCCUCGGGCGGAUCGCGAGGGCAACCCAGGGAGGGAUGACAAUUGCUUCCUGAAUCAGAAAUAGAUGAUCAAUUGUGAUAAAUAUUACAGAUAAGCGCCUACUAAAAAAAAAAAGGUUUAUUCCUUACACAUAAUUCAGAUUUUACGCCGUAAAAUUCGCAAAAACAAAAGAAGAGAAUCGUAGUAUAGCGUGCAAGAUUGUUAUAAUAUUGACCUGCGCAGCCUUAAGAACAUCCUCGAAUGCCCCGUCCUUCAGCUUCUCUUUGUCGGAUUCGGGUAUCGCAGAAUUAUACUCGGCUAAGAUCUGAUGGGGUUGCAGCAUUCCCUUUCCUUGAUGCACAAGCCUGCAAAGAUUUUUAUUUAGUAAAAAGAAAAAAAGUCAAUUUUGUAUCAAACAACUCAAUAAUCCCUUAUCCAACCAAAAAAAUUACCCAUAAGAAAUAUUCUCUAGCCAAAUUUCAACAACCUGGGUCUUAAUAAUCUGCAUUUCACAUCUCAAUUUUUAGAUUAUUACCACUUUAACUCCGCGAUCGUCACAUUUUCAUGCAAAAAUAACCAACAAUUCCUAUAGGGAAAAAUGUGACAAGAACAGGGUUGAGUACUAAAUAUCUAAACAUGAAGUGGGUUAAAUGUUAGUAAUUUUCAGGUUUCAGAUUUAAUUUUUAACCCAAAAAAUAAUAAAUCACUUAACUGCUCCAGAUUUUAACAGCAGUUUAGCCAUGCAUGCAUAGAAUCAUCACUAACAAGGAGAACUAUUUAACUAUUUUCUAAAUUACACUACAAUUCAUCUGAAAAACUAAUGUGGUGAUUAAUUUACAAUAAUCACUCAACAAAAAAUUCAUAAAACUCCAUGAAUCAAACCUUGAGAAAACCGCGACCAAUUCGUUCGGAUGCGCGGAGAGGGAGUCGCCGAUCCGCUCCCUCACGCUGUGGAGGCGGCUCAGCACGGGCUCGGCGGCGGCUUCUCCCAUGAUAUCUCCUCUUCCUCAAGCCUCAAAAAAGCUCUUUUUUUUUUCUGCAACACAAAACAGAGACAGCAAUAUUACUAAAUUAUAAGGACUCGAUUAGAGUUUGACAUUGCAGCAUCACACAGAGAACUACACAAGUAAUCUACACAAGAAAUUUGAAAAAAAAAAGAAAAAAAGAAAAAAAAGAGCUAACAUUUACUCAAAAGGACUAGAGUAAAAUUUUGGCAGCUCAAGAGGACAUCAAAGAAGCCUAAAUAAGUCCUUAAUCUCAUCUCUUCCCCUGUUAGAGAUAAGCAGCAUGGUUUUUUUGUAAAAAAAAAUCAAAUUGUUUAAGAAAAAGUAGAAUAAAGAUUAGAACUUUGAAAUAAACAAAAAAAGAGAAAGAGAAAGUAAAAGGUGGCCACCACUUUGAAUGCUGAGGAGAGGAGAAUAGCUUGAGAAGGGAUGUGGAGGGAUCUUAAACACACAGUAAAGAAGAGUGUACUAAUGAGUAACACGUAGGAGAGAGAGAGAGAGAGAGAGAGAGAGAGAGAGAGAGAGAGCCAAGUUUGUGAUGUACGCAAGAGGAGCUCCUUUUUCCAAUAAGAAACGUGUAAUAGCACUUACAAAAAAAACUUGCAGAAUUAAAAAGCUGAUUUUUUUUAAAAUUUUUCGGUAAUCUGAAUGGUUUCAGAGAGAUAAAAGAGAGCAGAUUAAUUAAGAGAAAACACAGCAAUAAUAGUGAUAAGUGCAAUAAACUUUUUCUAAUUUUUUGAGAAGGCUAGUAAAUCCAGCUUAAGAAGGUAGUUUUGGACAAAGAGGAGAAAAAAUGGGAACAAACAUGGUGAAAAUAUUGAAGAAUCUUAAGUUUUCCCCUGUUUUAAAUAUUUUAAGAGGGGCUUUCCCUGUUCUUAGGAAAUUAAAAAGAUAAAAAAAGGAAAGUUUAAUAUUUUCACCGGGUCCCGGAAAUUAUACCUGGAGAAAUUUUAGUGCCUUUUUUUAGUCUCGUAGUAAUCAUAUUAAGCGAAAAUUUCACUUCAGAUUCACGCUAAAAACCCCAACUUUAUAACAGCAAAACCCAGUGCAAAUUUGACGUUACCACCGGUGUAAAAUUUCCCCAAUUUCUUGUCCUAAAAUGCAAAGUUCUCAUGCAGAGACUCUGCAACAAAUCCUCUGAAACAAAUCCCAAAUUAUUACCCAUCUCUUUGAGCAGGGGAGGGUAUUAAUUACAGUAAACCACCCAAAAAGGUCCCAAUUUUUUACAACUGCAGUAGGGGAAAAAAAAAAAAAACAGAUUCACCUCUACACAAAAUUUUUACUUGAGCUCCAGCAUAAAAAAAAUGAAAAAAAACCCAACUUUAUUGCAGCAAAACCCAGUGAAAAUUUAGUGUUAAAUACGCUUUAUAUUUCCCCAGUAUCUUGUCCUAAAAUGCCAGGUUCUCGUGCAGAAACUCUGCAACAAAUCCUCUGUAAUAAAUCCCAAAUUAUCACACCUCUCUUUGAGCAGGUCAUUUUUCUAGAUCCACAGCAGAGUGGGGGGAAAAAAAAGAGAGAGAGAAAAAAACAUAAGCUUUAUACAAAAUUUCCGCUUGAGCUCCACCCAUAAAAUAACCCCAACUUUUUUACAGCAAAACCCAGUGGAAAUUUACAGUUACCAACAGUGUAUAAUUUUCUCAGCAUAUCGCCUUAAAACGCGAAGUUCUCAUGCAGAAACUCCCCUUGGAGCAGGGGAAAAAUUGCGCAGAAUCACCCCCAACAAGUUCAUAUUUUUACAUCCACAGCAGCAAAAAGAGUUUACCUUUACCUUUAAACGAAGACCCAAAUGGAGCUUUUGCUCUCCAAAGCGAGAGAACAAAGCUCAAAAUAUAUGAAAACAGAGAGAAAAGGGAAAAAAAAUAAAAAAGAAAAUAGAGAGGAAACAAAAUAAACGCAACAAUGGAGAGACCCAAGAAAACGGAGUGAACGGAGUUGGGAGCGAUUGUGGUGAGGAGAACGAGCCCUCGAACCCCCUUUUAUACACAAAAACCCAUGAGAUCCCACCCUCCUUUGUGGUGGGUCUCUCUCUCUCUCUCUCUCUCUAUCGAUUGUUUCUCUCUCUUCUUUUUACUUAGAAAAAAUUUCACCUACAAAACCGCUUUUGGCUCCAGCAACCGGUUUUGCGCCUCCCUACAUGGCAAGAAAUUUAUUCGGUGCACCCGGUGCAUGCACACAUCUCAUGCACACAUUUAUUGUUUUAUACUGAAAAUUCAUAUAACCCUGUGCCCUUUAGUUCCUGUGCUUUUAAAUACAUAUAUGAGUAUUCAUAUUUGUAACUUUUUAACCAUCAAAUUAUUUUAAGAUCCAUACGGUAUUAUUAACUAUAUAUUCCACUAAAUCUUCUUUAUUAUUGCUGAAUGAAUAUUCAGGCGAUCCGACAACUAAAAAAUCAUAAGUAUAGAUGUUUGCAUACUUUUAAAAGUAUAGAGAAUCUAUAAACUAAAAAUAAAAUAUUUUGUCUAAGUCUAGACUUUACUAUAUAAACAUUAAGCAGUUUAAAAUAUCAACAGUUGAAAAAACAUAUAUAUAUAUAUAUAGAAUUAGACUACUAUACUAUCUAUAGUAUCGGAACUCCGGUAUUAUAGUCUUAUUUUCGAUCUUAUGGUGUUUAAAUUAACGAUCCACACCGUUAAAUAUGAUUUAGGGUAUAUGAAGUUCUUAGGAAUAAAAUUUU